RNAcentral lists this long non-coding RNA (62374 nucleotides) under Eucalyptus grandis. Its description in RNAcentral is "long non-coding RNA (EGRA_LNC000361)". The record is from RNAcentral. Lineage: Eukaryota; Viridiplantae; Streptophyta; Magnoliopsida; Myrtales; Myrtaceae.
UGUGAUGCUAUGUGUGCACAGUUAACAGCUGUCAGCACUAGGGUCCCCAAUGCUGGCAUGCUGUCAACGGUGUCACCUUUCCCCCAACGUGAAGUUACUUAUCUUCAGAAUCUAUCAAAUCCAUUAUGGUGAUUAAUCAAUUAAUUCAAAAAUUAUGUAUCACUUUCUCACACGCCUUAAUUUUUGCAGCAAGAGAAGGCUUCAGCAAAAGCUACAACUGAGGGCUCAGAAGAUGUGGAUGCAAGUGGUGACGUACCUGUUCAGACGCCUGGUGUCCCACCCAAUCUCUUUGAAGAGAAUUUUGCAGAAUUGAAGAAAUGGGUUGAUGUGAAGUCCUCUAAGUACGGUACUCUCUUGGUCAUUCGUGAGCAACGUCAUGGAAGGCUGGGAACAGCGCUGAAGGUACUGUGUUGGGUGGCACUACCAACUGCCUCCAGAAAUCAGUAGUUUUUUUCAGUCGAGAUGCUUCUUAUUUUGUUAUAUCUUUUUCUUUAGCAUGUCCAAGAUGCUGGCAUCGAAAAUGGUAUUUCCUGCAAUAGUUGCACUAGUCCUCAUACUGUGCUCUUCCUCUAUUUUUUGCUUAAAACGUUCUUUCAAUUCCCGCUCUUGCUACCAAAGUCAUGCUGUCUAUUUGACUAAACCUCAAGUCAUGUUCUCAUGUACGCAUAAAAGUGUACCUGUGCACCUGUAUGGCGUAGUUAAGAAGACUUCGCUUAUUGUAGUCUUUUGUCCUGGAUGUUUGCAUAUCAGCUUCCAUGUAUAUACGUGGUUUUCUUUCAUUAUUUUAUUUUUAGUUUUAUGGAAAGGAACUCUGACAAAUUCACUUUUUACUUUCUUUCUGACCACAGAGCUGCUAACAAGCUUGUUUUUCUGUCUUCUCUCCUUACCUUUCAUUGAAAAGUGGCAUUUUGGCUGACUUAAAAUAAUUGUUAUUGCCAUUUGUGACUGCUUCUUGGGGAGUUCAUCUGUGAUUGAAAUAUUGCUUUUUGAGAUAAUCUCAACGUGAAAAACAUAUCACAGCAAUGGGUAUAUUUUUACAUGCUCUAAAAUGAUUUUGGUUUAGGUACUGAAUGAUAUGAUUCAAGAAGACGGUGACCCUCCGAAGAGGAAGCUGUUUGAACUAAAGCUGACUUUGGUCGAGGAGAUUGGAUGGAGUCACCUGUUAAGGUAUGAGAGAGAAUGGAUGCAUGUACGAUUCCCGGCAUGCUUGCCAUUGUUUUAAGGAUAUUUUAGUUUGUAUGUAUUCAGCGAUAAACUGUGUACGCAAAUAAAGCGUCUAAUCCACAAGGUGGGUGCUUAUGAUUUCCCGUUUACACUCUUUUCAGAAACUAUAAAUCUAGCAGUUUCACAUGCUAAAGUUUUUUGUGCACUUUUGUGUUACACAAAUUGCCCAUCUAGUCAUGAGCACUUUACCCUAUCAACUUGUCUCGACACUUGGUUCCAACUUACGACAUUACUUGGGCUAUUGAAUUAUAUUUUGCCGGUCGAGUGUUAGGAAUAGCAUAGCUAGGAUAGGUCAUUCAUGAAGGAUAAUCUGUCUUGUGACAGGAAUUUGCCAUAGAUUGCUUUCUGCUAUAUAACUUUAGGAGGUCGCGCUUGAGCAUAUUUCACGCUUGAGAAUUCAUGAUUUAUAAUGAUUCCGUCAAAUUCUAUUGGGCUUGUCGUCUUUCUCGGGACAUGAAUAAUUAAAAACAAAAUUAUUUAAAUUAAUUCAAAAUCACGAUAUUUUUCACUCUUAGACGACUUCAGAAGUUUCUGCUCAUUUACCCGUGAUUGUUUCUUUGUUGUGUUUGGCCAAUAUACCCCAUGGGAUGUUGCCUUCCACCGCAAGUACUGGGAGCCAUUGCGUCGGCUCCUUUUUGGAUAUGGUGCAGCUAGAUACAAUAUAAUACACGAUUAAAGUCCCAAAUGGGUCGUGUAAUGCGCCUAUGAUGCAUUGGCAUCAUUCCAUGUUUUACAAGGGUUCUGUACUAUUUACAUCUAAAUUUUAGCAAUCCAAUUAGUUGUUUAGUACACAACAAUGCUUUCAAUACGAUUGAUUCCAAAAUCGUUAAUGUACGAAGAUUUUUUUUUUUUUUUUGAUUAAGGUACAAAGAGAUUGGAAGAUAUGAUGAAAUCAUCAAAAAAAUGCUUUCCGAUUUUUACAAAAGUUUUCAUAUCUUGGAAUUUGGACAACAUUUGGAAUACCAUCAUCUUGAAAGUCCAAAGACGGAAAUAGAGAAGCUUAAGAAGCAAAUUCAACUCUUUGAAGAGGACAAAUUGAAACUUUCUAUUCAUUCCCAUGAAUUGAGUAUUCUCCUCCACCACUACAAAACAUUUCAAUUUUUGUUGCUCUUGCAGAAACUUCUACGAGAGCAGCAAAUUCACCCUAGAGAAUUGGGUUGCCUAAGGAAAGAAAAAGGAAAGAAAAAAGGGAAAGAAAAGAUUUUGAAAAAGAAGACUUCCCUAAAGGAGAAGCAAUACCAAAUGAUGUUAUUUAACCCGUCCGAAUGAUUCUUGAGAGAUUUGGGCAAUCAGGAAGAAAAACAGCCUAUCCUAUUGUCUUAAAAUACUAGAUUUAGUCUCCUCUAGAAUUGAUUCUUCGAUGAAUUUAGAUUCAGAACCAGACUCGAUUUCUCUUUCAUCUUCCUUCUCUUUUUUGAUCCCCGCUAUCAAAUCUUUUCCUAUUUUAUCGACCACUUCUUCAAUAUUCAUGGCCGAUCCUCCAGAUUAGAGGAUGGAUUCAAAUCUUUUUGAGUCAAAUGUUAUCCAACCAAAUAAUCCAUUCUAAAAUCUAAUUUCCGCCUCUAAACAAUUUUUUUACUGAUGAUAAUAUUCCAUAUUCCAAAUGAUCAAAAAGAUUUGAAAAGUUUCAUACUUGGUUAAGCACCCAAGCUCUCACAAAUCAUGACAAAUAGAUUUAUCAGGAGUAAGACCAAGUGUAACUUCUGCCUUUAGCAAACUUCGACCAAGCUAUUACUUUCCUCUGUCAUUUUUUCAUUGGCAAGUCUACUGACCUCCAUAAGCUCAAGAGAAGAGAGUUUUUUUGAAAGAAAAUAUCAUUCUCUCUAAAAAAAAGCAUCUCAAUAAGUAUUAUCAGGAAAUGCUCAAACUCUUCUAUGGCCUUGGAACGGAUGCAAACUUGAAACCGGUUUUUAUAGCGCCUAUAUUCCUAAAGAGUUAUCUCUGCAAGUUAAAGAGAUAAUUUCUUAACAAGCAAAUGAGAAUUGUGUAUAUUUUCUUGGGAGAAAUAUAACAAGAGAUCCAUUUGUGCCUUGAUGAUUUGUGUCUAAAGUGUGAAAUGAUGAAAACUUACCUCAAAGAUAAUUGAGAACUUGAUGGAGCUUGUUCACGUCAGAAUUUAAAGAUUAAGUGUUCCAAAAAAGAUUGUGAUGGCUCUUGUAGAAAAUCUUUUAGAAAGAAAAAGCAUUUCGAAAGGUGUUAGGUGGGAAAAUCCAAGUAUGGAUCUAAGCAAUUUCGGAGAAAGAAAAAAUGACGAUUUCUACGAAGAAGAAAAGAUCGCUCAAAUCACGAGAGAUCAACUUGAUAUUUCAUCUGCAACAAAAAAGAAGAAGUCAUUUAUCCAAAAAUUGCCCCCUCAGACGAAAAAAAUGUCAAAACCAUUUGAUAUAUCACGUUAAAAUUGAAACUGGUGUUUCACUUGAAAAUGAUGAUGUUGAAUCAUUAUUUUUCGUUGAUGAAGAUCCAUCCGAGCAAAUUCUUUUAUUAUUAAACUCUUAGUGAAACUAAUUUUGAUUCAAACUCUAAAGAUCUUUUCCAUAUAUCCAUCAUCUCUUUAGAACAAGACCAUAGUAUAUUUUCAAGUCAAGUCCAUUAUCUUCAUUUUCCUAUAAAAAUCCUUACCUCAAAACUUGUCAAACCCAUCACAGUCAUUGCUUUUAUGGAUAGUGGUGCAAGUUCUUCAAUUCUAGGCACAAAGAUUUAUUUUCUAAAGAACACUUGAAUUUCUGUGUUUGAUAUUUCAAUUAUGUCUCAAGAGAUACUUUUUCUACAAAUAUGCAAACUAUAUUAGUAACUAUUCAUUUUUUCCCUUAGUACUCUAUAACCACUAAAAUAUUUGGAUCUAAUCUCCCCAACAAAGAUUUGAUCAUUAGUUGGGAUGUCAUAACUCAAUAUCAGUUCUCUAAAUUUGUCAAUAUUUAAAGGUUUUUCUUUAUCUAGAUGAGUUUGCUAAAUUCGAUCAUGUAAAAGUUGUUAGAAUUUUGUUUAGAGUCCCAUUUUGAAUUAUCUUAGAAAUGUCCUUAUCUGUUGUGGAAAAACUCAGAGUUUUUUUUGUCUACCUCCCUUUAAAAAAAAAUGAAAAUAUAAACCCUAUUAAAGCGAGUCACAUGGGAAUGAAUCCGGAAUAUCUUGCUUCUGCUGGCCUUAUUGAAAUCUCGAGUUCUCAAUGGGCUUGUGAAGCUUUUUAUGUUAACAAACGAGUUGAGCAGAACAGAAGAAAAAUGCAACUAGUGAUAAAUUAUCAUCCCCUCAACCUUUUCCUUCAAGAUGACAAGUUUCCUUUACCCUAAAAAAAUUAAUUUUUGCUGGUUUAUCUAAAGCCCACAUUUAUUUCAAAUUUGGUCUAAAAGCCGGAUUUUGGCAAUUGGACAUUUAUCUUGAAGAUAGCCCCAAGAUAGGUUUUUGUAUUCUAAACCAGCAUUUUCAAUGAAAGAUCCUCUCUUUUGGCCUCAAAGUAGUCCCAUCCUUUUUUAAAAGGCCAUGUGUCGAAUUUUUCAGUCAAUCUUGUCAAGUACAGUAGUCUACGGUGAUGACAUCUUACUCUACCGUCUUGAUGAAGAAUUCACUGUCAACUCCUCGAGUAGUUUGCAGAUAUUGUAAAGAAAUAUAAUCAUGUUAUCUCAAAGAAAGAUUUGCAUAAACAUAAAUUGAAUUUUUUGGUAUGCACCUGAACUAGGGUACAUACUAUCCAGGGCCACACAUUACUUAGGAAUUGUUGAAAUUUCCAUGAGAAAACCUCACGAUAAACUCAUGAUAAAAGUAAGUUCAGUAAUUUCUUGUGAUAAUUAAUUAUUUUAGGGACUUUGUUCCCAACAUUGCAAAAUUGUUGAUUCAACUGCAAUCAAUGCUAAAGAAGUAUCACCCACCUUAGAGAAAAACCCAUAUUAGAGCAAUCGCAGAACUUAAGGAAAUCAUACAGACUCUUCCCCCAUUACAUAUUUCAUCCAUAGGAAAGAGAAUCCCCCAAAACUGAUGCUAGUGAUGAAUAUUGGGUGGCCAAACCGUUUGAAGAAAUUUAUGGUAAGCAACACUUCUGUGCUUAUAAAAGUGAAAAGUUUUCCUAAGUUAAUAUGCAUUAUCAUUCUACGUUAAAGAAAAUUUUGACGCUAAAAAAUGGAAUAAAAAAAUUCGAGUUCUAUCUUAUUGGCCAUCAUUUUCUAGUAAAAUUGGACAUGACAUCUUUUCCCUAGAUGAUUAACAGAAGCAGAUACCAAAUUCUCAACUACUUCGGUUGGCUAAAUAGCUUUCAAAAUAUUCUUUCGAAACCAAAUAAUUGCAGGAAAGAAGAACGUGUUUGCUGACUUUCUUUCAAGACCAAAGGCACAAGUAGAGAUUAAUAUGUACAUUAUAAGGCACGCUUUUCAUACUUUUCAUCACAUGAAAAGUAUGAGAUCAAAAGAAUGCGAGACUAGCCAAGUUUAGAUUACCCUCAAGAAAUUAUUGAAUAGAUAGAGAAUGACAGCCUCACUGAGAAUCUUGACAACCUCAUGUGGCAGUGCCAUAUGGAUCUAUUCAGACUCUAUGGAGACUCAAUUCUUUAUCCUUUUGAAUUAAACUCUAGAUAUCCAUUUAUACAUCAUUUAAUUUGAAAGGAAUGUGAUUUCCCUAAUAAACUUCGAUGGUUGUUUUGGUGAUAAGUACUUAACAAUUAUUGAACUUCUUACCAGAAAGUUCAUCGCCAACUUAAUAAGGAUAUUUGCGCUUGGCCAUAACAUUGAAAAGGAGAGUGAUAUGAACCCUUUGGCUGUACUUAAUUGGUUCUAUCCCCCAACUCAUUGGAAGUAUCUUUUCCAACAAGAGUUAGAACUAUCCAACCAGAAUCAGAAAUACACACUUUCAUGUUUCUUUAACGUCCAUAGGCUUUUGUACAAAAUAAUGGCAACAUUGCCAAUGCACCGGAAGGAGCAGGAACUACAACCUACAAACCUUAACCACACGUUACUUACAAAUCAUUUCCUAAUUCUGUUGGAUCUGUUAAAUACAACUACAGAGAACUUUGAAAAGCCUUGUGCCAAGAAAACAUGACCAUCCCUAAUAUAUCUCAUGGGAUCAUUAUAGCUUUGCAUUAGAAGCAAAACAAGCACUUGAAGAAUUCCAACAAGCAAAGGACCAAGUGAGGACACCUCCAUCACAAGAGUCAACAAGCAAAGGACCAAGUGAGGACACCUCCAUCACAAGAGUAAGAAAUGUCAGACACAAACGAUCCCACACAGGCAUCUUAAGAAUCUUAUGUUCAGGCAUCCUAUGCCCAAUGGGGAAGCCCUCACCCUAUGAUCAAAGAUCUUUGUCCUUAAUUCUUGGACUAGAAACAUCUCACUAUGCUUAACCAACAAAUUGGCCCCACUCAAACAUGUUUGCCGACAUUCUAGGACCCUCCGGGAUUUGUGUGGAAGCAUCAUCUUCAAGUGGAAUAAAUAUGUGGAAUGCCCUGAUAACACAAAGAAAGUCACCUAGAGCCCCCGACAUUAGAUUUUCAAAACUUGAACAAAAACAUGUGGAAGAACAGCUCACAAUACAUAGCUCUAAUGAUUCAGACUAUGACUACAACUCCCACGAUAGAAGAUAGGCCUGUAGCUAGGUCACCAUAGCAAAAUACUAUAGCAAUAAGUUAGGAAAAUCACUGGCCACAGUCACUGUUCAUAUCGUUUAGAAUAAAUCCCGACCGGAGUUUUUGGAGCCUCUGUUUGUUUCGAGACUUGUGAGCAUGGUCUUUGUUAUAUGUGACUUCUUAAUGCCUAUAAAAGGCAAUGCUGAUGUAAUGUGUUAGGCAGAGUCCCUUGAAGUAAAAUAUGUAUUUGUGAAAGCUCUCUCAAUAUCUCUCUAAACACUUAUUUUUUUCCAGCCUAGUAGGAUCCUUUAAGAAAUACAGCUUGACUAGUUACAAACGUUACCAUUCUGGCACCUUUGCAUGUCUCUAUGCUCUGAAAUAAAUUUUUGGAUAGUUUGCUGCUAAAAGGAUGUCCCUAAGGGCUUGAACAAGAGGUUCGCCCAUAAUGAGAAGGCAUAUCUACAACAACUUACUUAAUUUUUUAUGGUUCUAAAUAUAGGUCCCCUCAUGUUAAAAAUUAGGGAUUGAUCCCGAUUCCUAAAUAAAAAUGAGUUAAUUGCAUUAGGAACAUUUGCAUUAAUUAUUACAUUCAUCAUAUGGGCAGAAGGACCUAAAUGGAUAGUUCUAAGCUUAAUUUGGACUAAGCCCGUAGUGAAAGCAAGUUCGGCCAAGUCCAUGGACAUUAUUAAUGGAACCGAAAAUUGCCCAAUGCCAAGCUGGAAAAUUGAAUUAUAAGUACAUGGGUAAUGUUGGGAAACGAUGGGGGCCGUGUACACAGCAAUCUCGGCUCCAGUGAGAAUGGACAGAAGUUGGCCGGAGAGAAAGAGGAGUUAUCUUCUUCCUCGGGCGUGCGUCUCCACGACCACAACCGAGCUCCUCCAACUCCACUACCAGACGCUGCUUUCUUGCUGCAAUUUUCACACCGACGCCCUUGUUGCCGCACGCUACUGACCACCGUUGCUGAUCUUGCACCGGCAACCGUCACGCCUCCGUGUGAGUUCCUCCAUCACUAAACCGUGGCGCUUGCUGCUUUUAGGCUUCCCCCUGGCUGUUCCUCUGCUCACCGCCGCGCCACCUGACUGAGACGGCGUCAAUCCGUGAAGACGAAGCUGCCGCUGUGUCUGCCCACAACGAGGAGUCCACGCCGCAAGGGCUGCUGCUUUCCCGACGAGUUCCGGUUCCUCCGGCGUGUGCCUAAACCACACUGGCACCACCAGCAACGCUCUCGUUUGCUGUCCAACAUAGCAGAUUUUAUUGGCGCCUUGUUCAGAAUUUCUUGGUUCAGCCGCGAUUCUCGGUUUGAAUUUGGCUUGUUCGACACUUUUCCCUACAGCUUCUUCAGGGAACAUGGCCACCCUUGCAACAAAUCCCAAAGCCACGUGCCCUGGGGGCAGGCUCUCGACGACGUUGUUGGACUGUUCAAGUUGCUGUUAAUAUCAGUCCCAGCAAUUCACCCCCUGGGAAGAAUCGACAAUCUUUGAAGUCUUCGUAUCAUGUGCAAUGCUCCAAUAUAUGUUCGACACAUUUUGACACACAAUCAACAAGUGUUGGAAAUUUCUUGCGAUUCACUUGCAUCAUGUCCGAUGCUCCAAUACGUGUGCAACACGCAAUCAACAAGUGUCCAUGUGAUCAAUUCUCCCGACAUGCUUUGAUAUGCGAGUCUGGAAUUUCGACAUACAGUAGGUCGAUUUUAAAUUUUUUUAAUAAGCGUAAGCUAAUAUGUAAAUAUGCAAAAAAUAAAAUAAAAGGGGAGAAGUCUUCUCUUCCUACUCUCACUUCCCAUGACUUACGAUUUUUAACGUAACUUCAUUUUAAGCUUUUUUUUUACUUGUGAAUUUCAUAGUCAUAAGAAUAAUAAUUCAUCAUGUACAUGUAAAAAAAUAUAUUUAUAACACCACGUGCUGAAAUAUUUAUUUUUUGAGAGUGACGUAUUGGUGUUGGUACUAUUUAGCCCACCCUGGAAGCUCUCAUGAUGUUAACCACCAAGCGCCCCUCAUCGUGGGUCCUUGUGAUGCGACAACCAGUGCAAACACUUCUGCCAACUGAGCACCACCGAGCCACCUCACCGUGAGCAGCUCACUUGCCAAGCAUAGCCAUGCCACUGUGAAUCGCUGGCUGCGAGUUGGCCGCUGUGAAGCAUCGUCAAUCCCGAUUCUUGUGAUCUGUCAUCCAUCUGAAUUUGAAAAUGCUAUCCAAGCAAUAUCACGAAUUAGAUAGGAAUAUUCAUUAAUUUGAUAUUCAUUUUUUUUUUUUUUGCCUAAUUCGUGAAAUUGCAAUCUUGGUUGAAUCUUUGAAAGAUAAUACCAUAUCUAUGAAAUUCCUAAGUAGUGUUUAAAUUAGGAAUAUUUUCCCCUAAUUUCAUAAAGUGCUAUAGUCGUCAAUCGAUCUUAUGCUCGAAUACGAUUCAUCAAUAUAUUUCUAAAAUUUGAUGAUGGAUAUCUAUAUCCUUUAAAUCAUGCAUGAACUGCCUUUGCAUCUUCAAUAGGAGAAGGAGAUGGCAACACACCAACAACAAGCACUCUAUCUCAGACUGAGAUAAUUAAAAUAGGAAGUUUUAGAUGUAAAAGCAAUCUAUUUUUGUAUUGUGCUUUAUCACCAACUAAGUAUAACGGAAUCUCUUCUUGUGAAAGAGCAAAAUAUGUUUGGGACAAGCUUCAUGUCACCUAUGAAGGAAUGGACAGAGUUAAAGAAACCAAGAUAAAUAUCCUUCUUGAAUGAUAUGAAUCUUUCAAAAUGAAGCCGAGAGAAUCCAUUAGUGAAAUGUCUAGCAUAUUCUUAGAUAUUGUAAAUAAGCAAUCCAGUUUCGGCACCUAGGAUUGUGAACAAGUUACUGAGAAAACUCUCAAAGGAGUGGAACAAUGUCAAAAUCUCAAUAUGAGGGACUCAAACAAACAUGCCACUAAUAGUCGAUGAACUCAUUGGGACUCUUCAAUCAUAUGAAGUAGAACAACUCAAUGAUAAAGAUGAUUCAAAAGGUAAGAAAUCAAUUGUUUUAAUGUCUAACAUAGAUUCUAAUGACACAUACUCAUAAGAUGAUGAAGAUGACGAAAAGCUAGCUUUCCUAAUAAAGAAAUUCAGGAAACUGAACAAGAAGGGGAGAGAGUUCAAAGGGAAAAAGCCUUUCAAACAAGCUGAACGGAAGAAGACAUUUGAUGAAGGAGGAACAAGUAAGGAUGUAAUCUGAGUUGAAUGUAAGAAAUGUGGACAUAUAAUACAAAAUUGUCCUCUCUUGAAGAAAAAGAACAGAAAGUUUGAGAAAUUCAAGAAAGCCUUGAAAGUAGAAACUUGGAGUGAUCUUGAGUAUGAAGAAAGAAUAAAGUAUUUCUAUUCUCAUAUCAUUUUUGGUAUUUCAGGCAUGAUAAUGUGCAUAUACUUGACUUGAAAUAUUUUUUGGUAGGAAAAUGAGUUCUAACUUUUUUUCAAAAUUAUCUUUGAACAAAAAUAUAGGUGUCAAUAACAAAAUUUGGAAAAAAUGAAGCAGUCACGCUGUUUAUUGAGAAAAAUCUAGAGGAAAAGGGAUCUUUCCUGUCCAACAAGUAAAUUAGGACUUCAAGCACAUAUAUUAUGCGAUAAUGAUUAAAGAAUCAUAUGUUUUAAAUGAUUUGAAAUCCUUUAGUUUUUUUAGUAAAACGAGAUACAUCAAUGACUUUUGGGUUACAUAGGUUGAACUCCUCUUACUUCUUUCAUUUAUGAGCAACAUUAUAUUUCGAAUCGAAUCGCGAUUCUGUGUAAUAACAUGUCGGAAAUUACUUACCCUAGUGCCCCAUAGAAAUUAAAGUUAGGUGCAUAGAUAUAGAUGUUCCGCUCUUUAGGUUCAAAUGAUUGCCAGUCACUCACUGCCAAUGGUUGUUUGCCAAGGUGCAUGCUUCUUGUUUGUUUGGCCCCUUUGCUACCAUCCUCUUUCGGCGUUUUCUUUUCAGAAUAAGCAAUCUGGUCACCCAUUGUCGUUGAAGAAGCUCGAUGGUUUUUAACCUCAUCAUUUAUGUUGCCGAUUUCCUUGAGUCCAGGAUGUCCUGCGAUUGAGCUUUUUCUCUCAUUUAGAUGGCCCUGUAAUGAGAAAUAUUUCUUGUAACUCUUCAGUUUAAUUCCUGGGCAGGUUUAGUCCGUCACGGUUACAUAUCACCGUUCUGUCUCCUCCUACCGCAGCGUGUGAUAUGUGAUGUAGGAAGAAGGAAGAAAAUCUAUUUGGGCCCGCCGACCAAGGACAAGCUCCCAAAGGUAUUGCAUUCUGGUGCUUCUUCAAUUGAUGUUUCUUAAUCCUGGUCAUGGAACUAUUGCAGAAAUCCCAACCUGGGUCUGGGUUGGUCGGAGCAAUAUCUUUAUGGAAGAUAUGAAAUGCUGGUCAAGAUAUCGGACAGAGUCCCACAGAGAACCCUGCAUCCUACCAAAUCUCUUACACAGCGCCACCUAGAUAAGGUUCCUCAAGACCAUCCCAAGUUUUGUUUCUUCUUCGAUGCUUUUACUGAAGGUUAACUACUAAUUUUCUCCACAUCUGGCUGGUUGAAGAAGAGAAGCGGAAAGUUUCUUCAUCAAGGUGCACUAAAUCUGUCUCUGAACGCCUAAGAAAUGGUAGUUGGCGAUUGUGCCAUUGUGGUUAUUUUUCUUGGAUAGCAACUUUGGCUUAUGUAUAAAAUCCAUAGAUACCUCUAGCAAGCACUUUUACAGUGUCAUACUCGGAUAACUUCUUAUGUUUACAAAAUCAGAGAUCACUUUUACAUAUAUACAAAAGAUCUAAACUGUUACGUAAAUAAUGGAUAAAAAAAAAAUUGUUACAUACAUACAAGCGUCUAUCUAGUAUAAUUUUAGAUCCGUGCCCAUAAUUUAGAGCCACCUACUGAUUUUUUAUGGACUUAUAUCCACAUACAUUGGGUUCAGAGUCAAAAUUGAUGCUGGCAUCUUUUUUCAAUCUAUGACAACAAAACAUCACAAAAUACCCAUGGAAAAUUUGUUGACACUUGGAAAUCUUAUCAACUAGCGUCUCGAGAAAUUUAUGUUGUUAAUGUAAAAUUGCAAAGACCUGACGGGAUUCAUUGGGUCAAGCCCAAUAGAACUCGGCCCACACCUAUUAGCCAAAAUCCCCACCAUUCACAACAAGUUGAGGAUGAGCCAGAAAAACCAUCCCGACCAGCAAUUUUGGGCAGUUUCAAGGAGCACCGGUCCAAUUCCAAAUUUCAUUAAAUUGAAUUUUGAUCAAGGUUCGAGUGUAGAACCAACCAUCUGGAUUGGCCGAUUUUUUAUUUUAUUUUAUUUAUUUCUCUUGAAGAGAGGGGAAGAGGAACAAACACGCCAUUCCACGGACAAAAAACAGACAUUGAUGUAGAGGAUGGAGACGGAGAGAGAGUGGAGGGGAAAGCAUGUGAUGUUGUUGAAAGGAUUCUCAGAGAGAGGAUGGGAGGGAUCCCAAGAAAGAUGAAGGCACGGAGAAAAAAUAGUAAAAUAAAUAAAAUCAAAGAUUUUCACCAAAAAAAUAAAAUAAAGAUGUGGUCAGACUUCAUUGUAAAGCUUAGAGAGAGAAUAAGACAAAAGAAGCAAAGCAUAAACAGAGGAAGUCAAGAGUAGCCCCUUUUUCUUCUUGGGGUCAGGGUGGCGGUUGCAAUAAGUCAAAUCUCAGCUAAGAACUUUCUCAUUUCCCCAUGGUGCACCAGGCUAGGGGUGAGUAUGAUCUGGGUUGGGGCGGCCCACCCCCUAACCUUAGGACCAAUCCACAUAGUGCUGGUUUUCAAUUUUUGAGAUCGAGGACUGACCCUAUUGAGCUUGGGACUGAGGACUGGAUCGACCCAAUGGGUUCGGUUCGGUUUCAGAGUCAACCAUGGACCAAUUGAUAGUUUUUUAUUUUAUUUUUUGUACUCCUUGAAAAAGCAAUUGAGGAUCAGACUAACCCAAUAAGUUCGGUCCGAUUCUAAGGUCAACCCGGGAUUAACUAAUAAUUUUUUAUUUCGUUUUUUGUACUCCUUAAAAGGACAACUAAGGAUUGAACGGACCCAAUGGGUUUGAUGACAAGUGAGGUCAACUAAGAAAGGCAAGCCAUGAAGGUCGAGUGGGGUGAGUGUCAAUCAGAGUGAGCAUUGAGUGUCAAGCGGGGAGCAAUAAGCCAAGUGAGCAUCAAGUGGCGAGCGGCAUGAGUGACCCAAAGCGAGUGAGGCGAGUGUCAAGUGACGAGCAGAGAAGUUGUUUCUUUCAAUUUUGGCAAAUAAAAAACUAAGGACAAAUUUUUACCAAAAAAGAAAAAAAAGAAAAAAAAGAAAAGAAAACUAAGGAUAGAUAAGACAAAAGAGAAUGAGUAUUAAAGGAAGAUGCCAUAAGGAGCUGUUUAUGCUCUUUUGGAUGUUGUGAAGAUUCCUCAAAAAAACAUUUUCCUCAUUUGUAAAUUAUAACAUUGACGCUAUAAAAGACGUUAAAAAUCUAAAUUAUUAAAAAAACAAUGUAAAAUUAUUUGAAUUCCUCAUUAAAGAGUUGUUUAAUGUUGUUGACGCUGUUUGUUUUAAGAUUUUCUCUAUAUAAAAAAUUACAAAUAAUAUAUUAGAUAUAUAUUAUAUAACCCUAAACUCCCAAGACUGAAGACCAACCUAACCCACACAGUAUUGAUCCAAGAAUCCUAGGACCAAGGAUCAACCCAGUCUCCCUAGGAUCCGAACCAGGACUAGCAGGGUUGGGUCGGUCCAGGGUCGAUCCAGGAUUGACCAUGGGGACCGAGGCUCAACCCUACGUGAGGCCAUUCGAAGCCUCUCUGUCAUCAUCAUUUCCUCUGAAACUUCUCUCAAAGUAUCUCUUGGAAGUUGCUCGAGUAUGAGUCUUCGUCUUUCUUAGAGUAUCUCUUUGUAGAUGCUCAAGCCUUGUGAUAGAAUUGUGGAGUUCAAUAGAGGAAAAUAAAAUUCAAGCGUAGAAAUAAUUUAUUUUAUACAGUUAUCAAUUCUAUAAUAGCAUAUAUAUAAUUUACCCUACAUUCCUGCUAUAUAUAGAGCAAUAUCUUUUGUAGUUGUAACGCUAAAACUUGUAACCCUAGAGCUUGUAGCACUGAUACAGAUGGUGGAAGAUUGUCUAGUGUGGCACUGUGAUUUUUCUCUUUCUUGAUUUCGAGAAAGGUUUUCCACGUAAAAAUUCUCGAUUGUUUUCUUCUCAAUUUUUUCUCUUUAUAUAUUUGUGUUCCUAACAGCUGGUAUCAGAGCUAGGUUUUGGCAAAAUAGUAGGAAGGAAUAUGGAUGAAUGGAAGGUGAAGAUUGAUCGGUUCAAUGGCAAAGACUUUGGUUUUUGGAAAAUGCAGAUUGAGAAUAUGUUGUACCAGAAAAACCUGCAUCAACCUCUGUCUAGAGAGAAACUAGAAUCUAUGAAUCAAGAAGAGUGGAGAUUGUUAGAUUGACAAGCUCUGAGUUUGAUUUGUCUCACGUUGGCACGGAACAUUGCUUUCAACAUUGCCAAUGAGGCGAUAAUGGUGGAUUUGAUGGUGGCGUUGUCCAAUAUGUACGGGAAGCACUUUGCAUGAAACAAUGUAUAUUUGAUGCAUCAUCUUUUCAAUUUGAAAAUGGACGAGAGUGCUUCCAUGACAGAUCACAUCAAUGAAUUUAAUAUGAUUACGACUCAGUUGAGUUUGAUGGAUAUCAAAUUCGACGACGAGGUAAAAGCUUUAAUUUUAUUAUCUUCUCUACCUGAAAGUUGGAGUGCAACUAUGACUAUAGUGAGUAGUUCAUCUAGAAAGAAAAAAUUGAAGCUUCAAGCAAUCCAAGAUUUGAUUCUUAACGAGGAUAUUUGCAUAAGAGAAUCGGGUGAAUUUUUGGGUGCUACCUUAAAUAUUGAAGGUAGAGGAAGAAGCAAUCAACGAAGGCGGAACCAACACUCCAGUAGAUCAAAGUCCAAAGGAAGAAGCAAAUCUAGACCUCAUGGAGAAAUAAUUUGCUAGAAUUACGAAAAGAAAUGCCAUCUAAAACGAGGUAGUAGAACCCCAAAGAAGAAAUUUCAAUAUCGAGAUCGAAAUCAAGAUAAAAAAAAUCUAUGAAUGUAACUCUUGAAAAGAUGCAUAAUAGUGAUACUUUAAUUUUGAGCAUUGACAGUCCAAUUGAGUCUUGGAUUCUUGACUCAAGUGCGUAGUUUCACUCUACUUCAUGCAAAGAAUUAAUGCACAAUUUUAUUACUAGACAAUUCGGAAAGGUUUAUCUUGUUGAUGAUGAACCUUUGGAUAUUAUUGGAAAGGGUGAUGUUUAUAUAAAAUCUACUAAUGGAUAUCAAUGGAAGUUGUAUGAUGUCAGAUAUGUUUCAGGACUUAAGAGAAAUCUAAUCUCUAUAAGUCAAUUAGAUAGCACGGGGUAUAGAACUAUUUUUGGGGACGGCUUUUGGAAAAUAGUUAAAGGUGCUUUGAUCGUAGCACGGGAAACAAAGUCAGGAACGCUUUACAUAACUGAAAGCAGUAGAGAAACAGUAGCAAUUGUUGAGUUCGAAGUUGAUUAUAAAUUAUGACACUACAGGCUUAGACACAUGAGCAAAAAGGGGAUGAAUUAUUAGCAUCUAAGGGAAAAUUGCCUAAUCUGAAGUCCAUAGAUAUUGCUCGAUGUGAAGAUUGCGUUCUAGGCAAGUAGAAACGUGUUGGUUUUUUGAAAUUUGGGAGAGAACCAAAGAAAGGAAAAUUAGAGUUGGUGCAUACAAAUGUGUGGGGACCAGCUCCUGUGAAUUUUCUUGGAGGUUUACGGUAUUAUGUCACGUUCAUUGAUGACUCCACCAGAAAAGUAUAGGUUUAUUUUUUGAAAAAUAAAUCUAACGUGUUGCUACUUUUAAGAGAUGAAAAGCUGAAGUGGAGAAUGAAACUGGCUUGAAGAUCAAAUGUCUAAGGUCUGAUAAUGGUGUUGAGUAUGAUAGCAAGGAGUUCAAGCAAUUUUGUGCAGAGAAUGGAAUCAAAAUGACACGAACUAUUCCCAAUAGACCGUAGCAAAAUGAAAUUGCUAAAAGGAUGAAUAGGACUCUAAAUGAGCGUGCAAGAAGUAUGAGGUUGCAGGCAGGAUUACUCAAGACAUUUUGGGUGGAUGCAAUUAACGCAAAAACAUAUUUGAUUAACAAAGGACCUUUAAUGCCACUUGAUUUUAAGUUACUAGAAGAAGAAUGGAGCGGAAAGAAGGUAAAUCUCUUGCAUCUAAAUUUAAUUGUGUUUUGUAUGUCCACGUAGAUUCUGAAAAUAGAGAUAAGCUUGAUGCAAAAGCUAAUAAAUGUUUCAUUGGAUAUGGUUCUGAUUGUUUUGGUUAUUGAUUUUGGGAUGAACAAAAUAUAAAAAUAAUAAGAACUAUUGAUGUUACAUUCAAUGAAAAUAUGUUGCAUAAGGACAAAUCUAUGCCAGAAUCUAGUGUGAAGAAACAAAUGAUGGAGAAUAGAGAGAUUAAAUUAGAGGAGGCUUCUAAAAGUAAUCUCAUUGAAAUUCUUGAAACUAUUGUUGUUGAUUCUAAUAAAAAACCAGAACAAGAAUUACAAAUACCUACACCCACUUUGAGAAGAUCUAGUAGAACACCUAAACUUGUACAAAGAUAUUCUCUAUCAUUGCAUUAUUUGCUUUUGACUAAUGUUGGCGAACCAAAAAAAAAAUUUGGAAGUAGUGCAAGUUAAAGAUUCUAUUGGGAGUUAGCAUUGUAGGAUGAGUCAGAUUCACUCGAGAAAAACAAAACUUGGGUGUUAACUCAAUUACGAAAUGGGAAGAAAGCAUUGCAGAACAAGUGGGUGUAUUGGGUCAAAGAAGAACCUGAUGGCAAUAAAAGGUACAAAGCGAUGUUAGUAGUAAAAUGGUUUCGGCAAAAGGAAGAAAUUGAUUACCGAAAGAUUUUUUUCACCUAUUGUGAAAUUGACUACUAUCGGGUUAGUAUUGAGUAUUGUUGCCGUUGAGAAUUUACACCUAGAGUAGUUAGAUGUUAAGAUUGUAUUCCUCCAUGGCAAAUUGGAGGAGGAUAUUUACAUGAUACAGCCAGAAGGUUUUCAGGUUCUUGAAAAAGAAAAUUAUGUUUGCAAAUUGAAGAAAAGUUUGUAUGGCGUGAAAUAACUUCUAGACGGUGGUACAAGAAAUCCGACAUUUUUAUGUGUGGAAAUGGGUUCACUAAAAGUGAUAUGGAUCACAGUUAUUAUUUCAAGAAAUUUGAUGACUGCUAUAUUAUUUUGCUAUUGUAUGUGAAUCAUAUGCUCAUUGCAGGAUCUAGCAUGAGGGAGAUCAACAUACUAAAGCAACAAUUGUCAAAAGAAUUUGAGAUGAAGGACUUGGGUAUAGCGAAUCAGAUUCUUGGGAAGAGGAUCAUGCUGGAUAAUUCCAAAGGAAUUAUAAAAUUAUCUCAAGAAAAAUACAUCAAAAUAGUGUUAGAUAGAUUUUGAGUCUAGAAUGCAAAGCCCGGAAAUAUACCUUUAGGAAGUCACUUCAACCUCUUAAAGAAGCAAUCACCGCAGACAGGCUAAGGUGAUUUAGUUUAAUGUAAGCUAUGGUAUGUUGUUGACCAAACAUAGCUCAUGCAGUGGGAGUUGUGAGCAGAUAUAUGGCAAAUCCAAGAAUAAAGCAUUGGGUAGUUGUAAGUAAUUAUUAAGAUACCUGAGAGGCACUUAAAAUAUAUCAUUAUGUUUUAUGAAAAAUGGUGUAACUUUACAAGACUUUGUUGACGCAAAUCUUGGUGAUGACUUGGACAAUAGGAGGAGCACCUCGAGUUAAGUUUUUACCAUAAGUGGCACUACAAUCAUUUGGAUGUCUAGACUUCUAAAGUGCAUGUCUCUCUCAACUAUUGAGGCAGAGUAUGUUGCUAUAUUUGAAGUUGGUAAAGAAAUGAUUUGGUUGAAAUUUUUUCUAAAAGAGAUAGGCAAGGAACAUGAUAACAAUGUUAUUUUCAGUGACAGUCACACUGCUAUUUGUCUUGCAAAGAAUCCGGUAUUUCAUUCAAGGAUAAAACAUAUUGAGUUAAAGUAUCAUCAAAUUCAUCAAUUGAUAAAUGAUGUGACUUUGUCAUUGAAGAAGAUUCCUAGUAUAGAAAGGUUGUGCAUUGCCUUAGUUGGCCUCCAUAGUAAGUGAUGAGGGAUGCCACCGUACUAGGACAAUUUGGGCUACAAAAAUAAAGACUAUGAAAUAUUAUUGCUAUAUAUAUAUAUAUAUAUAUAUAUAUAUAUAUAUAUAUUUUGAAAAUCAGCCUCCAAGUGGGAGAUAAAUAAAGUUGUGGAGUCUGAUAGAGGAAAAUAAUAAUCAAACGCAGAAAUAAUUUAUUUUAGACAGUUACUAAUCCUGUAAUAGCAUACAUGUAAUUUUCAUAUUAAUUAUGUAUGCCCUAGACUCUUAUUAUAUUUUAUAGUUGUAACGCUAAAACUUGUAACCUAGAGCUUGUAACACUAAUAUUGAUAGUGAAAGAUUGCUUAGGGCAGCACAAUGGUUUUUCUCUUUUCUCGAUUUCAAGAAGGGUUUUCCACGUAAAAAUUCUCGCUUGUUUUCUUCUCUAUUUUUUCUCUACAUAUAUUUGCGUUCCUAACACCUUGGUCUUCUUGGAAACUCUUCCCCCCUCUCACGAGUCCUUUCAAGAACAUCAUGCUCUACCCCCUUUCUCUAUCUCCAUUCUCUAGAUAUAUACUUGUUUUCCUGAUUACUGAAAGGAAGAGGCCGAACCUUUGUGUUUAUUUUUCUUCCCGUCACUGCAAGCAAACUGUGCAGUGCCGACACCUAUAGAUCUUCCCUCCCCAUACUUUGAAAAAUCUUGCAUCCUAAGUAUGACGUUAAACGGUUUCAUUUCAGGCUUGUCCGGACCUGAGGAUCUCUGGGAUGUAAAACCUCUAGGAGGACAUGGUAAAGAGCAAAUAGUAUAUCAAUUGAAGAUGCGAGGCCUGCGGGCAUGGUCCCUUAAAUAAGGAAAACAUCCUAGCGGCCACUCCAUCAAAUGGAGACAGGCGCAAGAGGCGGGAAGAAAUUCCCCUUCCUUCGUGAAGUCACCCUUCAACCACUUCAAGGAUCCAAAGAAGCUCCUUUAUAUCCACAGAUGCACAAACAACCCAAGUCAAAGAGAAUAAGAAAACAAGGACAUGCCCACCGAUUGUUUUGACCCGCCUGGCGACCGCCGGUCGGUCCAAUUUCAAGUCUAGGCAGGCCGGUUCCAAUUCCCAGUUUCGGGAAUUGACCAUCCUGAAAUCGAUCAUCUUUAACAGCAAGACACUUGAUGCCCACGGGUACAAUCAUUUGGGAAAAUUCUAAAGAAAGAAAAACCCUAUUUUAUUUUCAUUGUUAGGGUGGAUAAGAGGCGGAAGACGGGUUCUUUUAAGAGGGGUCUUUGACUUUCAAAGGGAAAAAGGACCCAUUUUUUUGGCCCAGCUCUCUUCAUCUUGAUCCGAAAGGCACAAAUUUUGGGGGACUGCGAUCUUUAUUUUCGUUCUCCUGUGGUACCAUCAAGGCAGUCCAGUUGUAGCCAAGGGAUUUCCGGCACCGUUUGUUUUGGUCCCUCGUCGUGAACUACCAACCAUAGCUAUAGUCGGCGCUCCUCUGUUCUCCCCUGUUUUGCGGCCAUAGAAGGCAAAGAGCUCGAAUCACGAGUACCGUUGUCAUGCUGGCUCAGAUCUUAGCAUUUAAUGGUCCUUGAAGCUUCUGGCCUUUAGGCAUCAUCAAUCUCAAGGUGGCUCAAGGUGGGUAGGUUUCAGACCUAUACUUUAUUACAUUAUAAUCAAUUUCCUCUUUUUGAAUCAUGUAUCCUAUCCUACCUUAUUUUUUCAGUCCAAUUCUAGGUCUAUCUUUUUUGCACUAGAACCUAUUUUGUAUCCAUAUGAUAUCACAGCUUCGAAUUUUACAUAAAUACGCGAUAAAAUAACAAUAUAAUCAUCAUAAUUUGUAAUUAAGCACAUAUAAUUAAUAAGUACAUGAACUUUUUUACUAAACGAAAAACUAAAAAUCCACAAAUUCCUCAACGGCAAUGAUUUCUCUCAAUGUAUUGCUUGGUUUGUUUUUGGAGCCAUUUGUCAUCUAAUAUGGAAGACGCGAAACAACAUCAUUGAAAAUGCAUCUUGUCAAAGCUGUAAAGGACAAGGCUACCUGUUCAGCCAUGUUGCAAAUAUACCAAGGAACCGAAGGAUGCAACGAAGUUGGGGACUUGACCCCUCUAUCUUUUCUUCUGAGGUGUCAGAUCUUUCCUUGUAAAGUUGCCUGAGGGUUGCCACUGUUUUGGUUUCCCCUCUUUCUCCUUUUUCGCUCGAUACCCUUCCACUCGACUCGUAAUGACUUUGUCACCAUGAGUGCAAGUUUUGUUGGUGCCAAGUUAUCUUUGUUGUAAAGUUCCUUUUGGUUAAAAGUCAAUACUAAUCUUACCUUACCAAAAAAAAAGAAAAAAAUCCACAAGACCAAUUAUCAUAAACAAAUAUAACAAGGCAAAGUAAAAAUCCUAACAUUGCAUAAACAUUAAUAGUAAAUAUGGGUCUAAUAUUAGUCUUGUUCCCACCAUUACUUUUAUCUAAAAUGAUUAACAAAUCUUUCUAACACUAGUAAAAAUCAGUUCCAAAACCAGUCCAAUUGGUAUGAUUCCUCGGUGGGCUUUACUUAGAAUCGGGAAAUGGACUGGUUUCAACUGGUUCUCAAAAAAUGGAACCAGUUCAUGGAUCGGUUCAAACAAGAACCUGUUCAUGGACCUAUUUUCCGAAUGAUUUAGUCCGGUUCCUAAAAAACUCAAUCCGGUUGCACACCCUUACUGGCCGCAACCUAGUCUCCCGUUGCAGCCUCUUCACGCUCAGCUGACCAGGUAAUCUAUCACUCUCUGUCCUGCCCUGUUUUGAUGAGCAACGCUUAAUACAUUCCCCGACAAUAUAAAAGCCCGUUUCCACUUAUCAAAAACAUUAAGCUGGUUUCAGACAGGCAAAGACUGGAAACCGAAGGGCUUAGUCAAAACUUUCUAACCAAGAGGCCAACACCUCCACGCAUUCCGAGGCAAAGUUUAUUUGGUGCCUCAUUUCUGCGCAAUGAACUCUGAUUUAAUAUCCGCAUGUCAGCUGGGUAGGUCUGGAGGUCCAGUCAGUAGGAUUUUUUGGAGCACCAUUUUUGUGCUUUAUGUUCUAUUUUCCUUAACUGAUUAUGCUGUAAGCUAUAUUUCUUUCUUAAAAGAAUACAAGAGAUGAAUGAGUUUACUUACGUUUUAUGGUGCUUUGCAGAUCAUUGAUGCAGCCGAUGAAGUUAUUGAUAGCAUUGACAGAGAUGCCUUGGCAAAAUAUUUGGCAUUUAAAAGUGAUCCAGAGGAUGAGGAAGAGGAUGCAGAGAUUUUUAUCUACCGAACCAUGCAGCCACUUCCACUUUUUUAGAAAAAAUUCAAUGUAAUUGCUUGGAAGAAGUAUCAAGCCCGCUCUUAUAAGCUCCUGGUAGGUUUUUAACCGCUUCUUGUUACACUGUCAAAUUAUGAUGCUCCAUGUUCUCUUGCUCGAUAUCUCAUGGAAUUCUUAUUCCAAAGCAUGAAUUUUUCAUAUUAGCUUGAUUCAUUUUGCGUAGAAUAUUAAGAAGACAAUGUAGACUGCUCGGGAUCAAUUUGCCAAAGCUCUUUACCAGAAGAGGUUAGCAGCAGUAGCAGAAAUCGAGUUCGUCAAUGUAACGACAACUGAAAUCUGUUCCUAUGAAUAACAUUAGUAGCAUGCAGUCCUCCAUAUUAUUUACGUGCAGUCCUAAUAUUAACGGCUAGAAUCAUGAAGUAUGUGAAUUGAGAUGGUGCUGCAAAUGUGUGCUGCAUUACUUAUAAUUUUACACCGAGUGCUCGUUCCGUUCAAAAUGUUUCCGGAAUGAUAAUAUUUGUUACCUCUCCCCCAACAUGAAACCAUUAAUCUUCAGGGUCUAUUAAAUUCACUGUGUUGAUGAAUCAAUUACGUUGCUCUGAGCAAUUCAAAAUUGCUCAUCACUUUCUCUCACCCCUCUAAUUGUUGCAGGACGAGAAGGCUUUAGCGAAAGCUACAACUGAAGGCCCACAAUAUGUGGCUGCAAGUGGUGAUGGUGAUGAACCUGUUCAAAGCCCGGGUGUCCCACCCAAUCUCUUUGAAGUGAAUUUUGGGGAAUUGAAGAAAUGAAUUGAUGUGUGUUAGAAUAUUUUAAAAAUUCUCCUCUCACCCAUCCAUCGUCGUCGGUGAGGCUACGCAUAUUGCUUCACCAUUAUUGAUUUCAACUGCAGCAUGAGUGACGUUCAGAUGUUGAAUUGAGGAAUUGAUUCCCACAUUAUGACAUUUCUUAUGAGAAAUCAACUUGUUACAAUGAGACCCAAUAUCGUGAUCCGAUCUUGUGAGGCUUGUGAUAUUUCUUUGAUGGUGCAAAUCUCCUCAAAAUCUAUGGAGAUUUGCACCAUCUAUAGAUCAAAGAAACAUGACCGUCUCACAAGAUUAGAUCACAAUAGUGCAUUUGGUCUCAUUGCUAACAGGUCGAUUCUCGUGUGAAAUGUCAUUAGUAGGGGAAUUAAUCCCUCAUUCAACAUGUGUAUGUCAUCUGUACUACGGUUGAGCUCCAUAAUGUUUAAGUAACUGUAAGUAGACUCAUGACGAUGAUGAAUAUUGGAGAGAAGAAUUCUCUUUGACUACGCAAGAAUGAGGUAUUGAUAUCGGUAAAAAAUUUGCAAGAAGUUGUACCUAAUGCUGUAUGCAACCUACUUAUUGGCAUCUUCGCUUUAGAGUCAUGUGACCUCAAUUAAUUAUAAAAAAAGAAAAAGCAACCAGCUUUUGUUCAUAAUUUCUUGAUUUGACUUGUUAUCCGGUCUAAUUACAUGUUAGUACUUAGCACGGGAAGGGUUUUUCCAUGAAUGGACGAUUAUCCAUUUAAUUUUUAAUGAAUCCUAACUGUUAGUUAUUUUCUAUGCUAAGUUAUAUAUAAAUAUGUAGAAGAAACAGCAUAACGAUAAAGAUAGUUUUUUUUUUUAAUAAAUUCCAAAGAGCAAUUGGGUUGAAAUAAAAAAUAAAAAAAUUUGGGUCCAUCAUCUUAUCCUAUGACAAACAUAAAUUAAUUCGAUUGAAAAUGAUAGGAUAGAGAGUCCGUAUCUAUUCUGAAUUUUGUCAUGAUGAGAAAGGGACCAUCAUGCAAGGCCUCGGAAUUGGCUAUUUCUCGCAUGAUAGGGUAAACAAGGCGAAAAAAGAUACCUCCUGAGCAACGUCAGGAGGCGGAGACCGUUAUGGUACAGGCGAUUUAGGAGUAGUAAUAAAGUUCAAAAUGAUGCUCUUACCAUUGGAAAGUAAUAGUGCGCUUGCUCGGUAUGGUAUGCUACUAGAUAUUAGUACUUGACAUAAAGUGUUUUUGGGAAUUUCAAAUUUCAUAGUAACUCAACCCAAAGUUUAGUGUGGGCAAUUUUGAAAUGAUGACCGCUCAUUAAAGUAAACGGGAAUCUGGUAGUGUUUCAGUUCGAUUAUGACAGGCACUAUCUCGUUUCCACCUUUACGUGGCAUUUUGUAGGUCUAUGGUUGCUUGCAUGCCGUCACACGCGCGAUUUUAGAUUAAGAACAAUCAAACCCUAUUUCUUUAAAAAUAUUUUAAAGAAAUUGAUUUGCUCAAUCACUCUGGGAAAAGAAACCGUAUCUCUAACAAACCAUAUUUCCAACACUCUCCCGAGCUUCCUUAAUAGAACAUAGAGGUUUGGUGAAAAUAUAUAUAGGAUAUUUUGUAAUUCCUAUUGUUUGUGUCUUGAUUAUUCAUUCUUAAAUUUUAUUUCAAGUAAAAUGACAAUCAAUCUCUAUGUGUUUCAUUCUUUUAUGGAUUAUCAAAUUUGCUACAAGUUUGAGAGCAAUAUCAUUAUCACAAAAUAAGGUCAACGGCCCUUUUACCCGUAAGCUGAGAUCUUGAAGCAUCCAAACUAUUUCACAAACUAUAUUGACCCUGAUUUGAUAUUCAUAUUCAAAUGUUUACAAUAAGAUUAUUAGUUGUUUUUUUUGUUUUCCAUAAAAGUGAUGAGUCUUCCGACUUAAUACAAAAUUCAAAAAUAAACUCACUGCUGAUGUGACAAGUGGCAUAAUACAUGUCAUGGUAAGCAAUCAUCUUCAUUUUACAAUCUCCAUAUAUUUUCAGGUAUUUCACAACUUUUGAUGUUGCAUUCAUGUGAGAUUGCUUUGAAUUAUGCAUAAAUUGACUGUGGAUCUAUGUAGCAUAACAUAUUUUAGGUCUAGUCAAAGUAAAAUAGAUGAUUUUUUUUUAAUAUGAGUCUCUCAUAGCACAAUGGAUCCUUGAGUAAUGGAUCCUCACCUAGACAUGACAAUCCACAUCAUACCAAGUGCUCAAAAUACGGUUCUCUCUUGGUCAUUCGUGAGAAACAUUGUGGAAGAUGGGAAAAGUGCUAAAGGUACUUUGUUUGGUGGCACUGCCUACCCAAUCUAGAAACAAUGUUUGUAGUUUUUUCCCAGUUGAGAUGCUUCUUAUAUUGUUAGAUUUUCUUCUUUAGCAUGUCUAAGAAAUGGUAUCCCCUGAAUUAGUUGCUCUGGUCCGCCUGCCGUGUUCUUCCCCCAGUUUUUGAACCUUUUUUCACUUCCCACUCUCGGUACCAAGGCCAUGCUGUGUAUUGGACAGAACACCAAGUUAAGUUCUCACGUAUUUAGAGAAGUGUACAUGUGCCACCUGCAGGGUGUAGUUAUGAAAGAACUUCGCGUAUUGAAGUUAGUCUCAUGUCUUGGACGUCUGCAUAUCAGCUUCCAUGUUUAGACGUGGUUUCCUUUCGUUAUUUUUUUCUUAGUUUUAUGGAAAGGAACUCUGACAAGUUUACUUUUUCUAUCCUUUCUUUUUUACCAUGGAGCUACUGACGAGCUUGUUUUGUUUUCUCCUCCAACUACCUUCCGUUGAAAAGUGGCAUUUUGGCCGACUUAGAACAUUUGUGAUUUCCAUUUUGCGACUUCUUACUGGGGAGUGGUGCUCAAUUGAAAUAAUGCCUUUGGAGAUUAUCUCGACGUGAAUGGGUACAUUUUCACAUGCUCUAAAUGAAUUUUGGUUUAACUAUUAAAUGAUAUGAUUCAAGAAGACUAUAACCCUCCAAAGAAAAAACUGUUUGAACUAAAGCUCACUUUUACUCGAGCAGACUAGACUGAGUCACUUGCUAAGGUAUGACAGAGAAUGGAUGCAUGAACUAUUCCCAGCAUGCUUGCCAUCGUUUUGAGCAUGCGUUGGAUUUACGUAUUUAACAAUGAAUUGUGCAAGCAAAUUAAGCGUCUAAUCCACAAGAUGGAUGCUUAUGAUUUCCCAUUUACAUUCUUUUCAGAAAUUAUAAGUCUAUCAGUCUAAUAUGCAAUGGUUUUUUUUUUACAUUGUUAUGCUAUGCAGAUCGAUUGGUAUUCAUAGCAUGAAAGAUAGCAUCUUUGCAAAGGGUAUUAAGUUGGAAUUCUCCAUGAGCGUGCAGUUUAACAUCACAGAAGUCUUUGUGUUCGGUUGAAUGGGUUGACGUGUUUUUUUUUCCUUAAAAAUGAAUCUUUCCUCAUUGUUAUGGGCUCUUCGCUUAUCAUGACUUUAUGCUCUCAAAUUGCGCAUCUAAUUAUUAACACUAUCAACUUGCCUUGACCCUUGGUUCCCACUGUCGACAUUAACUGGGCUCUUGAAUUAUAUUUUGCUGGUCGAGUUUUAGCAAUAGCAUAGCUAAAUUAGGUUUUGCAUAUUAAAUCAAAAGUCCGCAUAUGCCAUUCGUGAAGGAUUGUCUAUCCAUCUUGAGAUGGGUUUUUGCAAUAAAUUGCUCUUUGCGAUAUAACCUUAGGAGGUUACGCUCAAGCGAAUUUCAAGCUUGAAAAUUCAUGAAUUUCAAUGAUUUCCGCCAAAUUCUAUUGGGUUUAUCUUUCUCGCAACAUGAAAACACAAAAACGAACUUGUCGAGACGAAUCCAAAUUUGACACGACACUUUUCGCACGGCUUCAAAAGUUUCUACCUUUUUACCUGUGGUUGAUUCUUUUUGGGUUUGGCAAGAUCCACUCUUGGGUCUUGCCGCCCCCUGCAACUAGUGGGGGCCAUUGCGGCUCCUCCAUUUCGAAUAUGGUGCAGCUAAAUACGAUUGAACACGCAAUUAAAGUCUCAAAAUGGUCGUGUAUUAGCAGACAAUACAUAUAUAUACAUAUAUAUAUUUCCACCCGCGAUGCAUUGUCACGACUCCAUAUUUUACAAGAGAUGCUUAUUAGACAAUAUAUAUGCACCUGCGAUGCAUUAAGAGAUGCUUACUAGACAGAAUAAACUCGAGUUCACAUAAGGAGUUGCCUUCCUUGUCUAAAGAGGUUGCACGGUCAGGGGCAAUCCACAAGCUGGUCUAAGAGAAAGCAUUAUUGAAGGAGAAUGACAGUGAUUUGGCGAGAGAGAAAAGGAAAACCUAGAGAGGACCAAGGAUAAAACAAUCUUGUAUUCCAUCAUCAUCAAGUUUCGGCCAAUGCACAUUCGCCCUCCGAACCCAAACGGCAAAAAACCCAUCUUGUGCUUGCAUCCCCCUUGGCUGUCGCCGUCAAACCUCUCCGGCUUGAACUCAUUCACGUCAUCAACCCAUAAAGUUGGGUCGUGGUGCAUGGACACGACAUCAAUCCAUAUGUUCGUGCCAUCGGGAAUUAUCAUGUCAGUGACCCAAAUGUCUCCCCUUGCCUGCCUUUGUACAUUCGGGGCUGGACUAUAUAGGCGUAAAACCUCAUUCAUCACCAAUCCCAUCAGCAAUGACAGGUUAAUCAAGAUUUAGUCAAGCAUUUCUCUCCUGUUUUUUUUUUUUUUUUUGUCUAAUGAUUUCAGUCAAACAAGCACCUCUUUGCAGUUGCAUUAGAUUAGCGUAAGCUUGUCAUAAUCAAACCUGGAAACAAUAACUAAUCAGUAGCAAAUGAAAAAAGGUUAGAUGCAUGGUGGGAUCCAAGUUAGCCCUCCAACUGGCCUAUACUUGUUUCCCAUGUUUUUGAGCCCUUCAGAUCAGAGGCGAUUCUUAGAGAUUCAAGCAAGUCAAAGAUUUUGCAUGAAGGUACUUUGAAUGGUCGUGAUUUAAUAAAAUGUUUAUAAGCCACAAAAUAUCUCCCGUAAAUGCUAGUUCUACAUUUGAUAAUUCCACUAGGCAAUCACGAGGUCAACGAAAUCAUGUAGAAAAUUCAAGUUGUCUUCUUUGUCAUAAUCUUUAAAAUUUGUGGCGUAUUGCUGGCCAAAAUUUAAAACAGGAGGUCCUUAAACUUUUGUUGUUGCCACAAAGAUAUUAUGUACAAUCUCAAAGUAGAUAUGUUAUGUAAUGUAAUAAAUCUAAAACUUCAAAUAUUUUGCUAUUUUUCAGAGAAUUUCUCAGAUAGAUCCAUUUUACCAUUAAGAGGAAGCCAAAGAUAAAAUGGAGAACAUGCGACAUUUCAAACAUUUCCUGUGGAGCUUCAAUUAUAUUAUUUCCAAAAUUUGAUUGAGUAUAUUAUAAGUCUACUAAAACUAGAGUAUGAGAUGUUCCCCCUCAUUUGCCAUAUUUCUUGACCCAUGAAUAGAAAAAAGUUAGUAUCAAGAUAAAGUUCAAAGUAGGACUGAUCAAUCUUAUACUGAGGCAAAAACCAUCAAAUCCUUCUCAAAGACCAACAUAAUAGCAAGGCGGUAAAAAAUGAAUUACUGCUAUUAUUGUUCAAGCAUAAAUCAAGGAACAAUAAACCCUAACUCGAAGGCUAAAAAGAUUUCCGCCUUGAGAAAUAUUCGCACUCGAGUCUGUAACACCAUAUACAUGAUUGUCUUUGCAAUCACCUAUAUAAUCAACACAGGUAGAACGCAAGAGAUAAUUCCUGAAGAGUGAGUUGUAGCUAAAGCCACAAAGUAGUAUCAAUACUGCUGCCUGGACACAUAGUAUUUCUUAUGUUUCUCAAUUACUUAAUUGCAAUUAAUCUACCAAAAUCACGGUCCGUUAUUCGCCCUCGCAUGAUAAAUUAUCUUUGUUCCCCAUCACACUUCACUCAGUCAUUUUCACUUUCAUGCAGAGUUCAUUACUCUCUCUCUCUCUCUCUCGUAUCAUCAAUUAAUGCUGUUGCCCGGCAGCAGCCAAAACUUAUCCUUUCCUAAAAUGCUCAAUAUAUAAGUGACUCUUUACCUUCUUAAGUCCAGCAAGCAUGGCGACUUCGAAAUCUUUAUCUCCUACUACUUCUUCAAUCUCUUCUCUCAAUUGCUUCUGCCACUCUAGGUAUAAUGCCAGGAGAAACAUGUUAGAUUUUCACAUAAUUCUUAAUGCGGAAAUUCAUAACAAAUCAAGGAUCUUUGAUCUUCAUGAUUUUCACAAAUAGAUGAAGACAUACAUUUAUCCAUAGCGCUACACUUGACGAUGAUCGUUGUAGAAAACCCAAAGAAUCUCGAACCAAAAAAAGAAAUCCGAUUUCUCUCCCUUAACCCACUAAACCUUAAUGUAUUCUAUCGAUGGAGGAAAGAAUACCAAAUUCCUUUAUGUUAUUGUUGUUCGUUGUGGGUGGAGAGAGGACCGAACUCUAUUUAUACGUUCAUUGAAAAUGUGUAUUCCAUCAAAGCGAUAUACCCUUUCAUUUUAUUAGAGUCGCAACUUCUCGUAACCAAUAAUUAUUUAUUUUAUAGCAAUUCAAUAAUUAUUAAACCAUAUAAUAAAUCAUAUCAUGUGGGUCACAAUAAUUCUUACAUUCUCUCACUUGGCCCAUAUGAUUUUCCUUUCAUGGUUUAAUAAAUACUAUAAUGUGCACAAUAACAUUAUGCUAUAAAAUUUCAUUAAAUUGGCAAUCACAUAACAAUCACAAUUAAGCAAAGAAAACUAAAAUGAGUCAUAAUGGUUGUGUGUCAUUAAUCGACAUAGUUCCUUCUAUGUACUACAACUAUAGCACUUUACUUAACAUGAUCCAUAAAUGAGAAGUACAGUAAUAGUCCAACCAUAAUGUUUCUUUAGAAACUAUCCUGUUUAACAUUCAUCUAUUUCCAUAAUGUAUACAAAAUAGAAAACAAAAAAUAUCAGAAACACAUAAGUGAGCUCAAAGUGUCAAAUACAUAAACUUAAUAAAAUCAUAAUACAAACAUUAAUGACGUCCAAUAAUGCCCAUCUUUUCAACAUACUCAUUAAAUGUUUUGGGCGGCAGUCCUUUUGUUAAGAGAUCUGCUAUCAUAAGAUUGGUGCUAAUGUGCUCAAUUGACACUCUUCAUUUAUGAACUUCUUAUUUAACAGACAAGUAUUUAAUCUCCAUAUGCUUAGCACCCUUAGAAUACUUGUCGUUCUUAGAGAAGAAAACUGCUGCAGAGUUAUCACAAUAAAUUUUCAACGGCUUGGCAAUACUGUCGACAAUCACAAGUCCUGAAAUAAAAUUCCGCAGCCAUAAUCCAUGAAUUGUGGCCUCAAAGCAUGCCACAAAUUCAGCUUCCAUAGUGGAUGCAGCAAUAACGGAUUGUUUCGCACUCUUCCAUGAAAUUGCCCCUCCAGUUAGAAGAAACAAGUAACCAAAUGUUGAUUUUCUUGUAUCGACACAUCCGGCUAAGUCUGAAUCUGAAUAUCCAAUCACCUCGAGAUGAUUGGAUCUUUUAUAAGUGAGCAUACGAUUCUUCGUUCCUUGCAAGUAUCUAAGAACUUUCUUUACAGCUUUCCAAUGAUCCAUUCCAGGAUUACUUUGAUACCUGCCCAGCAUUCCGAUAGCAAAACUGAUGUCUGAUCUGGUGCAAGUUUGUGCAUACAUUAAGCUCCCCACAAUAGAUGCAUAAGGAAUAUUUUUCAUUUGUUCUCGUUCCAAUUCACUUUUCAGACAUUGCAUAAGACUAAAUUUGUCACAUUUUUUGAAUUGGAACUAUUCCUGCUGAAUAUUUACUCAUAUUAAAUCACUCUAAAGGUUUCUCAAUGUAGGCUUUCUGAGACAAUCCUAAUAAUUCUUGUGAUCUAUCACGGAAUAUUUCUAUUCCUAUCACAUAUGUUGCCUCUCCCAUAUCCUUCAUUUCAAAAUUCUUAGAGAGAAACUUCUUGGUUUCAUAUAACAAACCAAGAUCAUUAGCAGCAAGCAAAAUGCCAUCAACAUACAGAACUAGAAAAAUAAACUUGCUCCCACUAAUUUUCAUAUAUAUACACCGAUUAACAGUGUUUUCCUUAAAUCCAAAUGAAGUUAUGGUAUCGUUAAACUUAAGAUACCAUUGUCGGGAAGCUUGUUUAAGUCCAUAUAUUGACUUCUUUAAUUUACAUACCAUGUGUUCCUUUCCUUUAAUUGAAAAGCCUUUGGGUUGGUCCAUAUAAACCUCUUCUUCUAAAUUCCCAUUAAGUAAUGUGGUUUUUACAUCCAUUUGGUAUAACUCCAAAUCAUAAUGAGCCACCAAAGUCAUAAUGAUUCUAAGUGAAUCAUUCUUAGAGACUGGUGAAAAUGUCUCUUUAUAGUCAAUGCAUUCUUUCUGAGUAAAACCCUUUGCAACAAGUCUGACUUUAUGUCGUUCAAUAUUACAUUUUAAGUCGCGCUUGGUCUUAAAGACCCAUUUACACCCGACAUUCUUACAUCCUUUAGGCAAUUCAACAAUAUCCCAAACUUGAUUUUGAUGCAUGGAUUUUAACUCUUCUUCCAUGGCAUUAAACUAUUCAUUAGAAUCUUCACAUUCCAUGGCUUGGGAAAAUGAAUCUGAAUCAUUUCCAAUUCCUAAGUCAAUUUUUUACUCUUGUAGAUAAACCAUAUAGUCAUAAAAAAAAUAGCCGACCUCCUUUCUCUUUGAGAUCUCCUUAAUGCUAUUUCUUGUGACUCGGCUAUUAGAGGUUCAUUAUUGACAUCUCUAUUAUCGAGUGUUUGUUCAUUAAUUUGUUGUUCUCGAUUAUUGUUAGAUUGUACUACAAUAUAAGGAACAACAACUUUAGAAGCUUUAGGCAUAGGAACUUCUACCCUUACUUCUUGAAUGCAAGCAUUACGCAUUCUUUCACUCCCACCGAUGUCACUAUUCUCAAUGAACCUAGUAUUUCUAGAUUCAACAAUUCUUGUACUGUGAUUAGGAAAAUAAAAUUUAUAUCCUUUGGAUUUCUCUGCAUAACCAAUCAAAUAACCACUGGUCAUUCUUGAAUCCAAUUUCCUUUUAUGUGGAUUAUAAAUUUUUACUUAUACUUGACAACCCCAAACAUGUAGGUGUCGUAAACUAAGUUUCAUUCCCGUCCACAGUUCAAAGGGAGUCUUUGGAACUGUCUUACUAGGAACCUUGUUUAAUAAGUACAUAGAAGUCUUUAAAGCAUAUAUCCACAAAGACAAGGGUAAAGAUGAAUGACUCAUCAUACUAUUAAUCAUUUCUAUUAAAGUACGAUUACGCCUUUCUGCUACACCAUUUUGUUGUGGUAUACCUGGCAUUGUGUAUCGAACACAAAUGCCAGGUCUUUCAAGGAAUUUAGCAAAUGGACUUGGACAUUGUCCCGAUUUAUCAUACUUUCCAUAAUAUUCAUCACCUCUAUCCGAUCUUAUUAUUUUUACCUUUUUAUCUAAUUGCCUCUCAACCCCUUUAAUAUACACUUUAAGUGCAUUCACUGAUUGAGACUUAUCAUGCAAUAGUUAAAUGUAACCAUAACGUGAAAAAUCAUCAAUAAAGAUUAUGAAAUAGCUUUCCUUACUAAAAGAUAGAACAUCGAAAGGACCACAUAUGUCAGUAUGUAUAAUCUUAAGAAGCUCUUUGUUUCUUGUGGCACAUUUCUUAGUGUGUUUUAUUUGUUUACCUUUAAUACAAUCAAUACACACUCCAAUGUCAGUAAAAUCUAAAUUUGGAAGAAUUUCAUUCUUCACUAAUCUUUGCAUUCUUUCAUUGGAUAUAUGACCUAAACGUUUAUGCCACAAGUAAGCAGAAUUUUCAUUCACCAAACUUCGUUUAGUGCCAACAUGAUGAUGGAAGAUCAUUAAUGUCUCAACAAAAGUAUUAUCAAGUCUAAAUUUGUAGAGACCAUCACAUAAAGUUCCAGUUCCAAUAAAAGUAUUACUCUUAAAUAGACUGAAAGAUUUAUAUCCAAACUUACAAUAAAAUCCCGCCACAUCAAGUCUUGGCAAAGAAACUAAAUUGCGAGAAAAUGUAGGUACAUAAAGGGUUCGAAACAAAUCCAAAUAAUACCAAGUAUUUAAGAUCAAACGGUAAGUGCCAAUGCCUUCAACUGGAGCUUUAUUUCUGUUCCCCGUAAUCACAUAACUUUCAUUUGGCUUUAUAGUUUGGAUCGUAAGAAAUUAUCGCAUCGUAUUUAACACAUGAGUGCUAGCACCAGAAUCAAUCCACCAAGUAUUAUGAGGAACUUCAGUAAAGUUUGAUUCAAAACAUACUAAAGCACAAGGCUUACCUUUCUUUUCGAACCAAGCCUUACAUUUCAGAUAAUCUUUCUUCAAGUGUCCAAUUUUGUUGCAAAAAUGACACUUAAUAAGAUUGUGUUCUUUCUUGUGGAUUUGAGAAGCUUUUGAAGAGUCAUUCAGAACGUGUAGUCUUUUCUUCUUGUUCCUUUCACCUUUCCUCUUGAAAUUCUUUCGAACUUCUUGAUGACUUGAGAGAUGAACAUAAUGAGCUUUUUGAUUAUUUAUCCUUGUUUCCUCUUGAAUUAGCAUACUGGCCAAUUCAUUUACAUUCCACUUAUCCUUUAUAGUGUUAUAAUUCAUUUGAAAUGGCCCAUAUUGCUCAUGAGGCAAUGAAUUAAGUAUAAAUUGUACUAAAAAAUACUCAUCCACGUUCAUUCCCAAAGUCCUUAACUUUGAUGCUAAAUUCGUCAUCUCAAGUAUAUGCUCAUGCAUGGUAUGCGAACCAUCAUAUUUCAUGGUGGUUAGUGUGCUCAUCAAUGUACCAGCAAGUGACUUAUCAGCAGUUUGAGAACGCUCUUUCACAAAUUUCAUAAAUUCCUUAGCAUUGUUAGUCUUGGGAAGAGAAGUCUUUAAGUUGUUUGCAACUGUCAUUCGCAUGAACAUUAAGCUCAGUCUAUUCGAUCUUUCCCAAACUUUAUGGAAAGACUUUUCAUUAUCGCUACUUUCAUCAAUAAUAACAGCUGGUUUCUCAGCUUGAAGCGCUAAAUCAAGAUUCAGGACACUUAAGUGAAACUUGACUUGUUCACUCUAAUCAGGAAAAUUUAUCCCAUUAAAUAAGGAAACAGAUGAGGCGUGCGAAUGGAGUGAAACAUGUACAUAUACUGCAAAUGUGCAAGAAAAUAUUCAUACAUUAACGCUUUGAGAAUAUCACCUAAUUAGAUUCAAACUAAACGACAUAUGUACAUCAUAGUUCUCUUUUGGGCGAUCCUAUCAUAUACAAAUAUAUAUAUAUAUAUAUACCAUAAUGAUGCUAAUAACUUUUAUUUGAUAAUUGUAAAUAUAUCUUAUUAAAAUUUAUUUGUUAUCUUUGGAUAUACAAACAAAUUUAACAAGUCAUAUUAAUUAUCAACCAUCAUGUUCAUGAAUUAUAAGAAAAUAAUUAACUUUUGGGUUAAUCCCUAAGUUCUUAUAAUAAAUGAACUUCAAUAUACCCAUAACUCCAAUAAUGAUAUAAAACAUAUCAAUUUCAUAUAUAGCAUCAAUUAAUCAUGGGUAAUUGAAUAAAAUAAUUUACAAUAUCAAAAAAUUCAAAAGACUUCAAGGUUCGGCCACUUUGGUGACUAACAAACCAUUCAUAAUAUGAAUUUUUAAUAUUGUAAAAUACAAGUAUUUACCAAAUUUGCACACAAGGACAAAACUUAAUCAAAGCGUAAGGGCAAAAUCGUAAAAUCAUAAUUCCAUAAGGGCAAAACCAUAAAUUUAAUAUCCAGGGGCAAAAUGGUAAAUAAUCAGCAAUGGCAGAAUCAUAAUUAUAAAUUAAACAGGGGCAGAACAAUAAAUAAAUUGCGAGAAGGACAAAAUGGGAAUUUUAAAAAUACACGCCUGCAAUUGCAGCGCGUGCGUGGAGCCCACGUGCCUUCUUCCUCACGACCUAAACACGUUUCUUUGCCAUUUUUCGCCGUUCCACCGCGGUUUCGCCGGCCUUUUCUUCUCUAGCGGCCCAUCCCAGACACAAAUAAAUAAUGAGUUUUGAAGAGCAUGCCAGCACGACCACAUGGGUCCAAGUUUCGAAGAAAAUGACCAAGAAAUUGGCCCCAAAUCAAAGCAAAAUUUCUCAAAACACAAAACCUCCACCACCGCCGCUUCCACCGCUCGAUUAGCCUCUGGCGAACACUGAUAUACCGGAAAAACUCAUGGCUAAUGUUUCUCAUGGCAGUGCGACGGUGUGGGUCCGAAAUCAAGCGGUGGGUUGCCGGAUUUUGCCUGGAACCGGCGGAUUUCUCACUUUGCCUCAAAAUAUCCGAAUUCCUCCAUUUUCGUCCUUCUUCAUUCGAUUUUUUUUUUAUUACACUCCAUCAUUCGGGUUUUAACGACAGAACCUUCCAAAACAUUUCAACAACAACAAAUACUACGAACAGAAUCAUUCAACGAAUCAUUAUGCAUAAAUCAUAAUAUUUCUAUAAAUGGAAAAAUCAUGAGAUCAUAAACCAAACGCUCUGAUUACCAACUGUUAGAUUUUCAUAUAAUUCUUAAUGCGGAAAUUCAUAACAAAUCAAGGAUCUUUGAUCUUCAUGAUUUUCACAAAUAGAUGAAGACAUACAUUUAUCCAUAGCACUACACUUGACGAUGAUCGUUGUAGAAAACCCAAAGAAUCUUGAACCAAAAGAAGAAAUCCGAUUUCUCUCCCUUAACCCACUAAACCUUAAUGUAUUCUAUCGAUGGAGGAGAGAAUACCAAAUUCCCUUAUGUUAUUGUUGUUCGUUGUGGGUGGAGAGAGAACCGAACUCUAUUUAUACGUUCAUUGAAAAUGUGCCUUCUAUCAAAGCGAUAUACCCUUUCAUUUUAUUAGAGUCGCAACUUCUCGUAACCAAUAAUUAUUUAUUUUAUAGUAAUUCAAUAAUUAUUAAACCAUAUAAUAAAUCAUAUCAUGUGGGUCACAAUAACUCUUACAAAACAUCGUCCAGGUGAGAGCCAAAGCUAUCGUUUCAUGGCCCCCGAAGAAGAACGUCUUGCAUUCAUCCACUAGUUCUCUUGUAGCUAACUUCUUCGUCUGCCUUUUGUAGCUAACUUCUUCCAGGCUUGCUUGUUUUUCUCUUUUGUUACUAGUCCUAGAUUCCUAGCGAAUAAGAAAAACUGCCUUCCUUUGCUUCUUAUUCUUGAGAAGGUAAUGGAAGCCUUUUUAUAAAGUUGAACAGAUCAAUGUUCAGCAUAAAAUAUUGGGAUUUUGACAAGGACAACACAAAAUCUCAGGGAUUAGAAGGAACUCACAACUCCUUUAACUUGGAAUUUCUAGCUUUAUCAAUUAUAGUUUCACUUACGGGAAAUACUAUAACAAGAACUCCCAAGAGCAUUAAAAGGAACUCUCAAUUUGAUCGAUUAUAAUUUCACUUAUAGGAGCAACCUUCCUCAUAUUAAUGCCUCAAUCACAAUAGCAAAGUGCAUGAACUACGGUAGAUACAUUCCUAGAGAAAAUUAAAAUAAUAAGCUGCGAAAAUAUUUUGUUGGAGAGAGAGCUGGAGAAACCUUGAGAUUGGAUGGAGAAAAUGCUGGAGUUAUGAUGUGUCUGCGUUGAACCCACUCAUCACCUUCGGUGAUUAGAAGACCAUUACCAAACACUGGCUUCCUAUCCAAUUUGAACACAUCGGGCUUUCCCCAAUUUUUACCCUUAACUAUGACAGACGUCUUUUUAAGAAAUUCGGGGUCUGCGAUGUAGAGAAACGGCUUAGUGCCUAGCCAGUAGAUGAACACCUUCCCUGAUAUUCACAAGAUCCAGAAUAAAAUUUGUUAGCGUGAUCAUUCUUGCUUCUUUAAAGUAGAACUGCAAUACAAUACAUAUAGGUUUGGAAUUGAUGGCUGUUGACGAGAUAUCGUCAUCAUGGCUAAAACCCAUGACAACGUGAAAAUUUCACUAACAUCCUCUUGAUCAAUAACGAAUCGAUGGAUUUAUAGAGAGAUCAAGAUUAUUUUGCUAUGCCUAAAUGAAGAGAUGCGUCCAUAUGCCAUGAUGUAUAAUUCUCUGCAUGAUGAAACUCUUACGAAUUCCUAAAAGUCACUAACCCUAAAAAUCAAUCGGCUAUGCGCCUACUAAACUUACGUAAAUUAUCUUUUUGCCCAAUGAAUCUCAAUCAACAAAACAAAACACCAAUUGUGUUUAUAUGGAUAAUCUUAUGCAUUGAUAACCAUGACAACAGUUCUCACUUUUCUUCUCUUGUAGAAAUUCACAUUUUAGGGCCAAAUGAUUUGAAAACUUAGACAUUAACACGUACUAUAGUUGACUUCAAGGGUUUAUUGCCUUAUCUUCACACCAGCAGGUGAUCACUGAAGAUAAGGUCGAUCUUCUAGAAUUGAUGUUAGGGAUAUUGGGAAAACUUGGGGUUGGACCACCAAACCCAUUUUUCCUCUGCUUCCUUUGAGCUAGGAGUGGCAAAAUCCACCAGGCGAUCAACAGUCUCACAAGAACCAUGAAGAGGAUUAGGAUCAACACUGCUAUAAUUGAAGUAAGACCGCCAUGCGACUGCACAUGGUACCUCAUCUCUGUGUGCGUGGGUGUGUGUGUGAUAUGGGAAAAUUGAUUGCGGUGAAACAAUUCAAGAUGAAGGACGGUGCGAGUGGGUGUUAUAUAGAUGAAUGGCUUUAUAGGGUUUCUAACUAAAGCAUGUCGGAAUGUUGACUAGGAAAGCAGCCGAGGGAAAAGUAGACGUGGUGUGCUGUUGUGUAUUUUUUAUGUAUCUCGCUUACAGGACCGGAGUACGUAUUAUAAGCCGUGGAACUAAUGAUGCUCAUUUCCUGUUCCUACUUGGUUAUUAGAUUUUAAUUAGAUAUUAGGUCCAUUCACGUCGGCUAUAGCUCUCGUGUGGACGACUCUUAGCCGCAAAACUCGAAAUGACGCUGUCUCUCCCCGUAAUGCCCUCUUUUGACUGACGCAUGACGGUCUCAUCUCCAACAGCAUAUGGUAGGUUCUCCGCCACUCUCAUGAAUGGACAAAAAUCAUUGAUAUCCUUCCCCAAGUUCGUGAGUGGCUAGUAGGAAGCCAACAACGAAUGCAUGUCGACUCACGUAAAUUGCAACACACUUCAACCCUGGAUGUACGACGGAGAUCAAAUCACGUGAGUUAGUCUAUAUGUUUCGAUUUCAUGCCUACUCAAUUUCAUCCUUUUUAUUAGAAUGUUUAGCCCAAAAAUUUAAGCCGAUAUGUGGAGGGAUGGAGAAAAUUGUCCAAAAAAUUCUAAAUCUGUUGUACUUUUACCAAUUAAGUCAUAAAAUUUUUAAUUUAGUCAAUUCAGUCGUAAACCUUUUUAUUUCUUGACAAUUCAAUUUAUCUGGACAAUUUUGGCCAGAAAAUGCUGAUGUGGACGGUACCAUGUAGGACCAGUAGUGUUGACGUAGACAAUUUUUAAUAUUAAUUUAAUAUUUUUGAAUUUUUAUUAUUUUUAUAGUAAUAAAGUUCUAAAUAAUGCUAUUACCAUUGGAAAGUAAUAGUGCGCUGGCUCAAAAUGGUAUACUACUAAAUAUUAGUACUUGACAUAAGCUGUUUUUGGGAAUUUCAAAUUUCAUAGUAAAGUGUGUUGAAUUGAUAUUAUUUAGGAUUUUUAGUGAUAUUAACUUUUUUCCUUUUUUACUUGAUAAAUUCUUGAUAUACGCAAUUAAAAACUCACCAUUUGUCCACCUGAUCCCCUUCGCUGACUUUUUUUUUUUUUUUUUUUUUUUGGUCGAAAGAUAAAGGCUUUUCAUUCACUUGUGAGCAAAGAUACAACCCUUAAACAGGGCAUCAAUACAGAGUAAGUCCAACAUAAGCUGAGGAGGAGAAAAAGCCCAAUUGAGUGGAAGGUUGCCUCUGGCAUGGGCCUUCGCGGCCCAGUCGGCUAGGGCAUUUGCUUCCCUUCGACAGUGCGAGACGAUCAGAUUGGAGAACAACAUCUUCAAGAACACACACUCAGCGAUCAGAUUUCGACAUUCCCAGGGUGGUUCGCAGCUUCCAUUGAUGGAUUCAACCAAGGUGAGAUUAUCCGAUUCUAUGAUGAGGUGUUCUUCCGUCCGUUCUUUCUGUAAAAGCUCCCGAAAAGUGUGUAACAGAGCUUGGAUUUCUGUUUCUAUGGCCGAUCGCGCUCUCACAGUACGGACGAAUCCCCCAAUCAAUCUACCAGAAGAGUCCCGAGCGAUGCUAGCGAUCACGCCUUCAUGGUGUCCACUGGGAAAAGCCCCGUCGAGAUUGAUCUUUAGUAUCCCCUGUGGCGGAGGUUCCCAAAUCCAAUUAGGGUUCAACCAUGUCUUGCGGGUCGGUAUGUCAAUUUGUGGGGUUCGACUGCCUGCCUGGACCAUAUUAACUGAUGCUUGAACCAGGUGAUCCGGGUGUGUUCGCUGAUGCCGAAAGACAAAGAGGUUACGGGCUUUCCAAAUAUGCCAAAGCAGAGCCGCAAUCUGCUCGAAACCAGGUACACCUCUCGGUUGAUCCUUCUUCUAGUGUAUAUGUGUAUGAAGCCAUGUUUCGAUACGUUGUAUGCUGUGGGGUGUAACUUUAAUUUGCACGCUGGGGUGAUUCCAGAUGUACUUUGUCCAUGGACAUAGUAGGAAUAGGUGUUCUGGGGUUUCGGGUAUGUCGGAUGAGCAAAGUUGACAACAAGGGUUUGGGGUGAUCUUCCUUCGAUAUAAAUUGGCUGCUGUAGGGAGAGCAUUCUGACACACAGCCCAAAGAAAUACUCGAACCUUGGGAGCUAUCUGAGCUUUCCAAAUCCGUCUCCAUAAGGUAGUAGGUGGCUGAUAGGAAGAUGAAGGUUGAGAUUGAAGCUUUAGAGAUGCCAUUUGUUUAAUGAAAUGAUAACCACUCUUAACAGAAUAAGAACCAUCUGCAGUAUCUGUCCACACAAGUUUGUCCUCAGAGGAGGCUGAUGUUAGAGGAAUAGAUAAAAUUUCGGUAACUAUGUGGUCUUGAAAUAGUUGACGUAGCAGUUCCUCAUUCCACACAUGCUGAUUAUCCAGAAUAAGUUCCUGUACUUUCUUCGGCUCUGUCCUGUUAUAAGGUCCACCUAGAAUUCCCAAUUUCAGCCAUUUAUCUUCUCUAACUCUAAUCUGGGUGCCAUUCCCUACUGACCAUUGGAGUUUGUCAAGAAUAGAAUCCCUACCGAGAACAAGACUUUGCCAGCCCCAAGAAGACCUCGUCCCUUUCUUUGCAGACCAGAAACUAGAAUGAGGGAAGUAUAAAGCUUUGAAAACAGUGCUCCACAAAGAGGAAGGAUUAGUAAAAAGUCUCCAUGCUUGCUUGCCCAAAAGAGCUUUGUUUAAGGAAAUUAAGUCGCGAAAACCUAAACCUCCUUGAUCUUUGCUCUUUUUGAGAGUUUCCCAGUUUUUCCAAUGGACGCCUGCUUUGUUACUAUUAUUUUUCCACCAAAACCUUGCUAUUUGUUGUUCCACCGCCUUACAUAUGGAGACAGGGAGCUUAAAAACAGUCAUAGCAUACUGGGGUAGUGCCUGAACCACCGAUUUCAACAAAACCUCCUUCCCUCCCUUAGAUAUCAGGUUUUCCUUCCACCCCUCCAGCUUAGUAGUAACUCUACUUAAAAUCCAUGCGAACAUAUCACGUUUAGAGGAUCCCCAAUCAGACGGAAUGCCUAAAUAUUUCCCUGUUUUGUCCAAAAUUGGAACUCUAAAGUCAUAAGCCAGAUUAAGUUUAAGGGAAUAAGGGCAGUUUUUACUCAUAAACAAACCAGAUUUGUUUCUGUUUAUCUCUUGUCCAGUUGCUAGGCAAUACUGAUUGAGGAUAUUUGAUAAGUUUUGGCUCUCUUGAAUUCGACCGUCAAUGAACAGAAUGGCAUCAUCGGCAAAGAAUAAAUGUGAUAGAGUAGGACACCAUCUGUUGAGUUUAAUGCCUCUUAAAUGACCCAUGCUAAUAGCAUUCUGGAUAAGAGUAGAUAGUAACUGUGCCACAAGAAUGAAUAAAUAGGGGGAUAGAGGGUCACCUUGUCUUAAACCUCGGGAUGGGCGAAAAUAAUGGAGAGAUUCCCCAUUCAGUUUAACACUAAAAGAAGUGGUUGAAACACACUGCAGCAUCCAUUUCACCCAUUGAGCAUGAAAUCCAAGUCUGUGAAGGUAAUCUUUUAAGAAAUCCCACUCCACCCUAUCAUAGGCUUUCUUCAUGUCUAGCUUGAGAAUUCCCUGAAAUUUUUCCUUUCUGUUUCUAGAUUUCAGCUGGUGUAGAACCUCUUGAACGAUUAGAAUAUUGUCCUGGAUUUGUCUACCAGAGACAAAUGCACUUUGUUCUUUAGAAAUUAGCACUGGCAGCCAGGUUUUGAGACGGUUCGCCAAAACUUUUGAUAUGAUUUUAUAGAUAAAGUUACAUAAACUGAUGGGGCGGAAUUGGUCUAACCUCUCGGGAUGCUGGAUUUUCGGAAUAAGGACUAAAGAAGUUUGGUUGAUUUCCGAUGGCAUAUGGGCUGUUGCAAAGAACUGUUGAACCGUAGAGAAAACUUCUUCCUGUAUAAUGUCCCAGUAAUGACGGUAGAAUAAACCAUUUAACCCAUCCGGUCCGGGCGCUUUAGUUGCUCCUAAUUGAAAAGUGGCUUGCUUGACUUCCUCUCUUGUAACAUCUGCUGUUAGAUGAAUAUUCAUUUCUGCUGUGACUAUUGGACAGCAUUGCAUGAGAAUAGGGUUAUAGUCUCUUUGUCCUGCAGAAGUGUACAAUUGCUGAAAAAAGUUGAGAGUCUCAUGCUUCACCUGAUCAGGAUCACGAAUCCAGUCCCCAUUAUCAUUCUGUAAAAUGCUGAUUUUAUUCCUUUGACGCCUUUGGAUUGUGGUAGCAUGGAAAAAUUUCGUAUUCCGAUCACCCCAACACAUCCAAUUAAUGCGAGAGCGCAUGGCCCAAUAUUGUUCUUCUUGUGCCCAUUUUUGUUGGAUUUGAGAUCUCAAGGAAUUGACCAGAUCUUUAUCAUAAUUACAUGUAGGCUCAUUGAGACAGUGUUGAAGUUGCUGUUGCAAAAAUGAGAUUUGUUGCUGAGCUUCCUGAAACUUAUGUCUGCUCCACCUAGUCAAAGCCGUAGUGGUGUUCUGAAUCCGCCGCGAAAUGUGGAGCUUAUCAGUGGAAUGAUGAGACCAAGAUGUGGAGAUCACCUCCCUACAUUCUGUAUCUGAGAAGCCAAACGCUUCGAAGUAAACUUUUCCUUCUCUUCACUGGUCUUACAUUAGUAGUUAACAAAAGCGGGCUAUGGUCAGAGCCUAUGGCGGGAAGGGCAAGAACCUCUGCCUCUGCAUAUUUUAAACGCCACUCAAAUGUACAUAAUGCACGAUCGAGCCUUUCCUUAACAAUGUCCUCACCCUCUCUAUUAUUACUCCAGGUGUAGGCACAACCCUUUGUGUCAAGAUCCAGCAAAGCACAAUCAUGGAGAACUUCCCGAAAAGCAUGCAUACGGUAAGAAGGAGCUGGUCUCUUACCUACCUUCUCCCAUGGAUGCAAUAUGUCAUUAAAGUCCCCUAUACACACCCAAGGCAAGGUAUGCAAGUUACUGAGCCUCCGUAAAUCUGCCCAAAAUUGUUGUCGAUAUUGAAAGACCGAUGGCGCAUGUAAACAGGUAAGACCCAUAGGUGAGCCCUUACCAAUUUCUGAGCAAAUAGUAUCUAUAUAGUGCGCUGUAGAGCUAUUAAUAUGAAGAGAGAUCUGAUUCGUCCAAAAAAUAACCAUACCUCCAGCCAAACCUGUAGGAUUUACAACAAAACAGUUUGAUAACUUGAUUUUACCUUGGACACGCUGGAUAAGAGAUUCUUGAUUACGAGUUUCCAUCAAAAAUAGGACAUCGGGCUUUUCUCGGGCCACUAAGGCCCUAAGUGCUUGAACUGUCAAGGAAUUGCCCAAUCCUUGACAGUUCCAACUCAUGAUCUUCAUUUAUCCUUGGGUGGCUUAUUGGGGCAAGCCACCUCAGCCCAAUCUCUGACAUCUUCAACCAUUAUGAUGGGAGUAUCCAGCAGUUGACAAUCUUCAGAAACUUCUGGAAGAACAGAACGCGAUCCAUAUGGAGAAUACCGCUUAGCUUUCUUGACCGGAGAGGUCGUAGUCAGCAACAGAGGUUUUUUAACUUUUUUGGAGUUGGUAACUGACUGUUUAACUUCUGUGACAGCAUUGGAACCUUGUAAACCUGGACGCUCCGGGGAAAACGAAGUGGAAUCGAGAGCUGUCUUACCAGUGACUGAAAUGGGAUGAGCCUUGAAGGAUUCUCUUUCUACGUGCUUAGAACAGGAAUCGGAUGGUCCCGGUGGUGGCAAGAACAAGCCUUGUGAAGGAGUUUCAGGUACCGUUUCCUCUCCAUCUUCCAUAAAAGGUUUUGUUUCAUAGAAAGCCUGCCAGAAAGGGCUAGGGUUCCUUGCUUCGGCCUUAAGCGACUGGCCAGUGCUCCUAAGCUAAGCCGAAUGCCCCGCGUCGUCUUUUUACUUAUUUUUUAUGGAUGAAGACGGAAUUGGCUGCUUGGCAAGUCAGCAUGAAGCUUUGGCUCUCAGUCAACUCUGCUUUUUCUUUAUUCGUUCUGAGGCUUGCUUCUCUUAUUUAAGACAUUUUUUGAAAAGGUUAGCUGUCGUCCCAUUGAUCCUGCCAGACAAGCUUUCCAUUCUCAGCAGCAUUCCAAGCACUCAAUCAGGCGGCUAUAUCUGUACUCGAUUAAGGUACAAGAAUGGACAUGUAGAAGAUCAAUGGGACGAACUCGAAGAACAGGGGAAUUUGAUUUCCAUCUCCCCAACAGAUUUCCUAUGCGCGUGGAUUGUAGUGGGAGAGAAUUGGUGGCGUUUUAGGGUUUCUCUGAGAAGCUGGAUGAAUAAAUUCAUCUGUAGUGUCAAUAUAUUAUGUUUUUUCAUUGCCAUCGAUAUUAUUCAACUAAACAUUACAAAAUAUAAUAAUCUAUAUUUGACAAGGGCAGGGCAGCCUAUUUAUGGCCAUGUUCGUCUCUAUUUUUCGCACUGUUGCAACCUUUCCCAAGGUGAACCACUUAAGAAAAAACUAAUGGAUAAUUAAAUGAGAAUAAAGAUUCCUCUCAUAAGACAAUUGUUUGUGUUUAGUAUAGACUUUCUCAAGCCCUACCGAUCACAACUUGAUACUCAUUUUAACAUGCAACUAUCUUAUCCUUGGGAAUCGUCACUAUCAGUUAGGGUAGAUUAGAGACACUUAAAUAAACUGCUGGACGUUUCAUUUUUGCGAAACGAGAGAGACUUAAUGGAUUCUGGGACUUGAUCAAUCCAGGGGUGUCACACGCAUAGGUUGCUCACCCGUCAAGCACAUAAAUUUACGCGGAACAUGUACGCAUAACGCGGGGCCCACUUGCAUUUUGCACAUACGCAUUCACAAUUCAUACACACACUCACUGAACUUGCACACACACUCGGCCACCCACACUUCGUAUACUGUCACACUCGGCCAUCCCCACUGAACUCUGCACAUACCACACUCUCCCACGCUCCCAUGAACUGAACGCACACAUACUCUCUGCGACGUGCUCGGACAGAGGCGGGGAAGGGCCGGCGGUGGCCGGAGCUUCACCGGGCAACCGUGGUUGAACGGCAGGGCGAUGGAGUGGUGGCAGUUCAGCCACGGAAUGCAUGGCAGUGAGCCUCGAUUCGAAUCUUCUCAGCGUGACCACCAUGAUUUUCCCGCCUUCGCUCUGAAUAUCUGUCCCCCUUUUCCCUGCUGACCAUCUUGCCGAGGACAUCUAGUCCUUCAAUGAUCGCGCCCCGGCGGUGCCAAUGGUCUUCUCUUCGGCCGCGAAAAUUGACGAUAUCAGUGGCCAUAUCUCCAUGUGCCAACGAGAAAUUCCCGAUCUGUAAAGCUUGAACAAACAUCGCCUCUCUGUCUGUCCUUCCUUUUGUUUCUUUUUCGCAUGCGCACACGCGAUGCUUUUUCUAUUUUUGCCCGCUCGUGCACGUUUUCUCUUUAGCCUCUAUGGUCACCUGCUACACGCUAAAUGCCUAAUAAGGUAUGCCUAAUAAGGUACCCCUAAUAAGGUACCUGUACAACGAGAAUCAGACAUUUAAUGAAAUAUAUAUUUCUUGACCACGCUCUGGUGCCUUCAUUGUUAGGUGUCGUUCAUACACGACCGAAAGAAGGAAGAAGAAUCACAACAUUUCACUGCGGGAAUCCGGUCAACACAAAAAAAACUCCGGCAGCUUCGAUGGCCUUGUUCAAAUUCGCGUCGAUCGCCCUUUCCUUCACGGUUCUCUUGCUGCUGUCUCGAUCUCCCCGGAGCUCGGCUCGCGAGGUCGCCGCGUCCACGGACGAAAUCGUUCGCCAGGGGCAGCAGCAACAGCAACAAUCGAGCAACAACGUCUGGUCCUCCUUCCAAGCAAGAAAGAUCCGGCGCCCAUGUGGUGAAAAGGCUGAGUGGCGGUGNNNNNNNNNNNNNNNNNNNNNNNNNNNNNNNNNNNNNNNNNNNNNNNNNNNNNNNNNNNNNNNNNNNNNNNNNNNNNNNNNNNNNNNNNNNNNNNNNNNNGGGGGGGAGAGGGAGAGAUAGGUUAGAGCUGGGAUAUAGCUUGCUUGCAAUGUGAUAUCUGCAAAAAAUUUCUGAAAGUGUGAUUCUUUGCCUUGUAAAGCACUUUCUCGGGUGGGUCUGUAGUAUCAAGUGUCCUUGUUUCAUUAAAUGGUUGGAUGCUGGAUAUCACAGUUGACAUUGUCAAUUCAUGUGAUACGUGGCAUUCAAUGAAACAUUUCAAUCUGAGAGUCUGGUGAGGUUCACAUUCAUUAUAAUUCUUGUACUUAUUUUAGAGUUUGUCUUCUCUUUUCAUCUGGUUUUUCUGCAUUUAGACGAUUUCACCGAAGACCUCAUAUCACGUAAUUUCACUGCUUCGUAUCUUUGUAGGGGCUUCUCUCACCAUAAAUACAUCCUGGAAAAACCCUUCUGGUGAUUGGCAUGUGGGUUGUAAGUUAGUCUAUGAGCUAUUUACGAACACUUUGACAUCUCGUUUGAAGGUAACAGUGUUUCUAACUUUGGCACUUCUCAUCUAUACAUUGACAUCUUAAAUGAAUUUUCUUUCUUUGCAGAAAGAAAGGAAAAAGAAGUGGGAUGAGAGAAACCAGGAAGAAAUUGCCAAUGCUGUGAAGAUCGUUAAUGAAUUUGAUCAGGUUGUCUAAAAUGUUGCUUGUGGAGUAUUUACAUACAUACAUACAUAUAUAUAUAUAUAUAUAUAUAUAUAUAUAUAUAUAUAUAUAUAUAAAUGCUUCUUUGCUUGUGUUUCCAAGCUAUAGUAAGCCUAAGUAAAGCAACGGCAUGAUCUUGAAAAGAUAACUGUAGACAAAGUGUUUCAUCCUUUUUUUCCCCUAAUUUUCGAGUGGAAAAUGUUAGUUCCGCUAAUUGUUUCAACUUUCAAUAAGCAUAAUUGUUCUGUCUCAUAUAGUAGGAAAACAGGUGCGCUUCUUUUUUGAAGUUAUUUGCAUUGUUGAUUGAUCCAGGCAAUUUUUUUUUCAGUGAGAUGAGUUGGGUAUUCUCUGACUGUAUAAACAUUGUCUUAUAGAGGCAUGAUAUUUCCCGUGUAGAAACAUGCCAAAGUUGAGGAUACAGAUUUGAAGAAGACAAGAGAAGAUCUACAAAAUAGAGUUGAUCUUUUACAAAAACAAGCUGAUGUGAGUCUUGUGGAUACUGAUGUUUUUAUCCUCUCCUAUUGUUCUUUUUGGUGUUUGGACUAAUCAACUCCCGAUGUAUGCUUUAAGAACUAUGAUGAUAGGGGCCCCAUUAUAGACGCUGUAGUAUGGCAUGAUGGAGAAGUUUGGAGGGUCGCUCUUGAUACCCAGAGUCUUGAAGAUGACCCAAAUUGCGGGAAACUUGCUGAGUUCGAACCCCUUACUAACUAUAGGUAUGAAGGCAUUUGGAGUAUACCAGGUUUUGUAAAACUUUCUUUUUGUUGCAGAUCAUGUUUUGUAACAUUUAUGUUUCUGGAACCUGUAGUUUCGUUUUCUUAUGGGAAAUACCAAGAUAAGUAUGAGUCACUGUUAAUAGAUCUUAAGAAUCAACUGGAGCAGGACCUAGAAAACUGAAUUUCGUGCUCAACCUUUUCUUGUAUGUCACCCCUUUCUUCUGCUGAAUUUCAUAUGGACCAAGAGAUGAUUAAGAUGAUUUCUUUAACUUUCUUCUUGAAACUUACAGGAUAGAGCGCAAAUUUGGAAUAUUUAGCAAGCUAGAUGCCUGUACAUUUGUUGUCAAUGUGUACGAUGAUGGGAAUAUAUUAAGUAUUGUAACCGAUAGUUCCUUUCACGGUACUCAUGUUGCUGGUAUAGCUACUGCUUUCCAUCCAGAGGUACUAUCUUUGUGGUGAAAAUUGAACAUUAGUAAAUUGCAAUUGCUGCAAACUAUUUGUCUGUUCAAUUGGAUGAUUAUUGGCAGGAACCCUUGUUGAAUGGGGUUGCACCUGGAGCUCAGUUAAUCUCUUGUAAAAUUGGAGACACAUGAUUAGGUUCAAUGGAGACUGGAACUGGUCUCAUUCGAGCACUAAUAGCUGCUGUCGAGGUGGGUAAGGAUAGAUGCUUGUUUUCUCUCAUACAAAAAGAACUUGGACUAUGCACUCUUUUGGUAGGAAUUAAUGUUUUAGCAUGUCGAUAUGCUUAUCGUAAUUUAUAGAGGAUCUUGAUGUUGUUCGGCAAUUCUUUCUGCAGCAUAAAUGUGAUCUGAUCAACAUGAGUUAUGGAGAACUGACAUCGCUGCCUGAUUAUGGACGCUUCGUUGACCUUGCAAAUGAAGUAUGGUCCUAAAUUUCAUCAUUUUCUCAGUACUUUCUUGGAUGCAAGUGCGCCUCACAUUGGUUGAAUUGGGUUGGUGAUAUGUAAAUCUGACUUUUCCCUAUACAUUCUUUUUUGCUGGAAAGAAAUGGCCAGAUAUAAGGAAACUUAACAAAAGUCACUUGGCCACCCUAUUGUAAUUGAUGUACCAGCUCUAUAUCAUCCUCCAACUCUGUUUUUGUAUGCUUCAAGGCUUCUUUGGGUAUUGAGGUUUGUUUGUAGGUUUUGGAUGACGAUGCAUGAUGAUUUCAACGUAAGAGGAAUUGGCAACACACUUAGGAUUAUGUGCUAUAGACCAUAACUUCCUCCCCCCCCUCCUCUUUUAAUUGCAUUUGGCAUUGCUGAGCCACAUCUUUCAUUUUGUAUGGUCGUGAGUAUUUCCAAAAUUGACAUUACCAAAAAGAAUUAUGAGCUCUUUGAAAGUCAGAUAAUUGAUUGAGUAAUCCUCUGGUUAGAACGAUACUGAUUCAUAGAUGAGAUAUGGAAAGAUACAUAGACCGCCAUUUUUUACUCAAUAACAUCGAAGGAUCUUGAGUAUGCACAAGUACAUACUUACAAGCUACAAAUUCUCAUCAGCUUUUGCUUAUGAAGUCAUACAUAAGAUAAGCCUUAAGGUGGACCAAGCCUUCUUAUAUUUGGAAAACUGUCUUAAGCAAAGUUGGUUGUGUAUUUUGAUGUGUAAUUAUGGAGACAGUGAGGACCAUUGACUUUCCACUCCUCUGGUCUUAUGUCUAUGCCUUUAUACUUAUUCGUAUACAUCAUCAUGUGGAUUUAGGUAAUCGAUAAGCAUCGCCUAGUAUUUGUUGCUGCUGCUGGCAAUAGUGGGUCAGCAUUGAGUACUGUGAUAGCACCUGGAGGUACCACUUCGAGCAUCAUUGGAGUUGGGGCAUAUGUAUCUCCUGCAAUGGCUGCUGGUGCCCAUGCUGUAGUUGAACCUCCCUGCGAGGGACUCGAGUAUACUUGGUACUUUUGCUUUACUCUGGCCUUGGACUGUGAUGCCUUCCAGGCAAGAUGGGCCUAUGUUGUGACAUUGAGAACACCCAUAACUGCCAAUCACAUGCAGGUCUAGCAGGGGACCGACAGCUGAUGGUGAUCUUGGUGUAUGUAUAAGUGCCCCUGGUGCGGCUGUUGCACCAGUGCCUACUUGGACUCUUCAACGUCGUAUGAUGGGGUGUGGAACAUCAAUGGCAUCUCCAUCAGCUUGUGGGGGGGUUGCAUUACUCAUCAGCGCUAUGAAGGUAGUUUUGCUAGAAAUGCUUGUGACAUUGAAGAAAGAGCAGUUAUUAUCCAUUUUUUACUUCUAAACCUAUUUUCAGUGCCAGCCUGUAUAGAAUGUUCUCUUAUGUUGUGCAGGCCGAAGGCAUUCCUGUGAGUCCAUAUACUGUACGGAAGGCCCUUGAGAAUACAUGCCUUCCUAUAGGUAGCCUUCCAGAAGAUAAACUAACCACUGGACAGGGGCUCAUGCAAGUUGACAAGUUAGGUUUCCUGUUUGAGGCUCUUGAUUUUACUUACAACAAUAGUUCAGAAUUUUAAGCAUUGCUCUCAAUUGAUGGGUAUCAGGGCUUACGAGUACAUAAAGCUGUCUCAGAACAUUCCAUGCGUUUGGUAUCAAGUGAAAAUGAGUCAAUCUGGAAAAUCAAGUAAGUUUUUAUUACAGGCCUUUCUCAUUUUAUUUUGCAAAUAUAUAAUUAAGUGGUUCCCGUAGUUUUGUAGCCUGUGCACUAUGAAUAUGGCGCAGUAAGAGUUCUGAAUGUGUUUUACAUGGGCCUUAUUUAGACUAGCUUACUGUUAUUGGUUGAUGAGAAUCCGGAUAUUCUGAAUAACUAGUGCCGUUAUCCUGAAAUUAUGAUGCUCAAGUGGACAUCAGCACAGUAGAAGAAAAGCACUGUGGCAUCAUUGUCAUGACUUGCUAGGGAUGGUGUAUCUGUUGUGGUUGAGUAAAAUUGUGCAACAAGUGAGGAUUGCCUCACAGUUACAGAGAAUCCAACUUUUUGAAAUUCUGUUCCCAAUGUUGAGGUUACAAGGUUCACCAUGAACUGUGACGUUCUGUUACAUAAGUUUAGGGGUUCUAUGUGUUACAGCUGAAUUUGAGGGCAUUGUCAAGAAGUAAGGUGUAGGGGUCACCAUAUAUUUUACCCUAAAACAUCAGGUUCAGAUCUUCAAAUAGGUUGCUUUAGCAGCUUGGGUAUGGGCCUGAUAAGCUCUCUUCGAGAUGGAUGAAAGCCAGAUGUUCCGUUAAAUUUUAAUGAAAGAUAUUGACAUGUAUUAGAUCUCUCCAGUUAAAUGAUCAUGUCUCCAUGUGACCAUUGAAAGCAUGGACCAAGCACCUUGUUUGUCUGUCGGACAUGCUUGUCAUACAUUUUUUAUUAUUUGUUUCCCUAAGUUGACAAGGAUAAUGAACCAAUAGUUCUGCUUGACAGGCCUAUUGUAGAAUAUGCAGUUCUGGCUGGCUAUUAAUAUGUUUGGUGUAAUAGAUCAUAUUCCUGCAGAAUUUUGUUUGCCGGUCUGAAGAUGAUAAAUUGAUUAGAUUUUGAGACUCUAUUAGUCAGCUUCCUGGCCAGAAUUAAGGACAUCAUAUUCGCCACCUUUAUUGCAUCUUCUUUUUCAAUUUAUUACUCUUUUCCAUCAUCCAUUUCCAUAAAUCUUAUAAGUAAUGUGCUCCUUUGGUCCCCACUCAGUGGGAUAAGGUUUAUUUUGCUGCUGCCUUUUCUAUUGCUGAUGGUUUUGUGGAUUAUGCUUACAUCAUAUAUACAUUAUUCUAUAUCUGAGAAACUGAACGAGUUGCCUGAUUGAUGGUUUUUUUUUUUGUAGCUCCUACUUCACGAGGCAUUUAUCUUAGGGAGGCUAGCUAUUGCACACGAUCUACUGAGGUGAGAUUAUGGAUAAACUAAGCACAUUCCCCUGUCGUGGAUUCAUCGAGUUGCUUAUGAAAAUCAUAGAGUGAAUUAAACAUUCUUAUUCUUGUGUCUUAUUGUCCUCAUAGGUAGCUUUUGAAUCUUACAUACUUUAGUUUGUUGGAGUAAUUACUUUACAGUUUAUCCAUAAUGGAUGUACGAGUGUAAAUUAUCUCUGUUUCUCCUUACCCUGUGCUGAGUUAGACUCAAAUAUUUUUGUUGGCCAUAAUGCUAUUCUUGUCAUACAUUAGAGCAUUGCUCAGUUAUGCGUGUGAUGUAAUUCUUAAUUUCAUGCUUUAGGCUUCCUGAAAUCUGAUGAGAAAACAAAAUGAAUGGGAGAAAACUGGUGGAAAUUGGGAAGGAGAAAACAGUAACUUAUCUCGUGUUUGGAUAGAAGAAAAAUGGAGUUUAAAAUAGAAGACGUGAAGUUCAAAUUGUGCAUGUGAAGAUGACAAGAAUUCCCUUUAAAAUUUGACAAAAUGUUGCAAGGUUCACCUAAUAAUGUUAGGGAUUUCCUCUAGGCACUUCACCCAUUUGGGGGAGAGUAAGUUUCCUCUCGCUGCGAUUAUAACCAUUUUCUAAUUUCUUCCAAACAAGUUAUAGUUUUUCUUAAACAUUUCUCUCUCUUUCCCCUCAAAUACAAGUUCUAAUUCGAGUUUGAUUUCUAGUCGUAUUUUUUGUAUGUGAACUGCAACGAUGUUGUGUAGCUUUCGGGAAAGCUUUAGAAGAAAAAGUUCCAAAUGUUUUCUUGGAGGAUGGUAAUAGUGCUGUAGAGAAACUUAUGAUAAUUGUCUCAUGUAUUUAGUUCAGCUUUUUUUUUUCAGGUCAAAGUAUUUAGUUCAGCUUUAUUUGUAGCUUUUGUGCAAGUUGUAGGUUGUUCAGUAUAUAAAUAUGUCAUGGACAUCUGUUUAUGGAAUUGUAUAGAUAUGCAUUUGUGCAUAAUCCAAAGAGCUACUUCUAUGUAUUUCCACAUAAACCUGGUCCAUUUGUUGAAUUGCUUUCUAUUUAUUUUUUAACAUCGUUGAUGUCUCUAACAUAAGUCUGAAGCUGAGCAUGGCUCGCUGAAGAUAACUGACUGAUAUGUGAUACUUGAUGAUGCUUGAUUUUCAAUCUUUCACGUCACUUAUGUACUUUUCCACGAUGACUCUCUUAUUGCAAUCAUUAAUUUCUUUUUUCUUUUACCAGUGGACCGUGCAAAUUGAGCCAAAUUUUCAUGAAGAUGCGAACAAUCUAGAAGACCUGGUUCCCUUUGAGGAGUGUAUUGAGUUACACUCCACAGAGAAGGCUGUCGUAAGGGCUCCGGAGUAUCUAUUGCUUACUCACAACGGCCGUAGCUUCAAGUCAGUAAGCAUUAGUUUGUUAAAUCCUCUAUGAAAUCGCUCUGAGUACAUCGAAAGUUUCAAAACUCCAAUUAUUAUGCCUAAUUAAUUGAUGCUUUGAGAGCAGUUGCUGAUAUUCUCACUAGAACUCUGUCAAUUGAUUUGAAUAAUCGAGAAGGUAUACAAUAAACUUAGAUGUGGUAUGCAUACUGAACACUGAUGAACCUAAUGUAAAAGUUUCAUGGUAACUCUUAUAAGUAAGUGAAUAGUAGGCUAUAUUUUCUUCAAGGAAUUGCCUCUGUUUCCUUUUCCUCAUUCUUUUUGUAGAUAUGUUUAUAUCUAGAUUGAGUUGACUGGUUGUGCUCUCCAAAUCUAACAGACCUAUAAGUAGAUCGUGAAACUAGUCUUGCUCUAUCAUUAAUGCUUUGUUUGGGAGAGAGGAAAAGAGGAACAGAGGAGUAUGGCAAAGAAAAACAUAUUAGGAACAUGCUAGCCUUUCCUUGCUUGUGACUGGGAAAGUUUUUUAACCUUCAGCCCUGAUAUACUUAUCUCUAAAUACAAAGGGUUUUGCUUCUUCCUCUUCUUCUUCUUCUCCUUCUCCUUUUUUUUUUUUUUUUUUGUGGGGGGGGGGAGGGAGAAAAAAAGAGGCGGGGGAAAAGAAAAUGGGUGGUGAGUAUAUUUCCAUUUCCUUUGAGUCAAGGAUGGCCAGCUCAAAGCUGAGUAGAUUUUAUAGUUUGCUCAAGCUUGUGUAGGAGGUGAGUUUAAUACAAUAUCCAAUCAUCUGCACCAUAACUCUGCAAGUAGGUUAUUAUAGAAUUGGGAAAAAAACUACUAGCUAAUUUUGUAUCAUAGUGGAAGCUACAAUAAUCUAGAGCUGCUUUUUCUUUUUCAGCAUUGUUGUGGAUCCCAGCAAUCUUUCUAGUGGACUUCAUUAUUAUGAAGUGUAUGGGGUUGAUUGCAAAUCGCCAUGGCGUGGUCCUCUUUUCAGAAUACCAGUUACUAUAACAAAGCCUGCUGUCGUAGUGAGCCAGCCUCCUGUAGUCUCAUAUUCAAAGAUGUCAUUUCAGCCAGGUUAUACAUAGUCUUCAUUCAAACAUCAAUCUGUAUUCAUAUACAUCAGUACUUACACGAUUUUUGAAGAAAAUGAGGGCUAGGUUUUUCUUUUCCAGUUUAAAUAGCGAAAUGUUUGGUGUAUGUUUGAGAAACUUGGUCAUGUCUUUCUGAAACUGUGCAUGGCUACUUGAUUACGAUAAACAGUGUGUUAGACAAAGCAAUGGAGUAAUGAUGUGUAUUAUGGAUUUAACCUUGAUUCCCUAUGCCAAAUUGGUGGCUAAUGUACAGUCUUCAUUGCUUUCUUCACUUACCUGAGAGAUCUAGUUGACUUUCAUAAACUAUGUUUGUACAUGACAUCAUUAGAUUGCUUGAGGCAUUGAAGAUGCUGUAGUCUGACACAAGUGACCCACGGAAAUUGAAAAGCAGAGUCAUGUGCUACAAAGAAGGAAAAAGAUAGCAUUCUUUUCCAAUCUUUGUCAGUCUUAAAUGCUACUUAACGGGGAAUUCUAUUUCUUUUGUUUGAUGCUUUAUGCUUUAAUAGGUCACAUUGAACGGAGAUACAUCGAGGUGCCAUUUGGUGCUACUUGGGUUGAGGCUACCAUGCGAACAUCUGAGUUUGACACAACCCGGAGAUUCUUUGUUGACACAGUUCAGGUACAACAUUCGCUGAGUACUUUAUUCACCAGAUUAUAAAGAACUGCUUUGACUCUUUUUCAAUGCACAGCUUUGUCCCUUGCAAAGGCCCAUCAAAUGGGAGAGCGCGGUAAUGUUUUCUUCUCCAGCUGCCAAAAGCUUUGCCUUCCCUGUGGUUGGUGGUCACACGAUGGAAUUAGCAGUAGCUCAGAUUUGGUCAAGUGGAAUUGGGAGCAAUGAAGCUACUUCAGUGGAUUUUGAGGUAGCAUAUGUAUUUCAAUGUAAUAUUGUGAUUUUUCAUCUGCUUGUGUUGAUUUUUAUACAUCAAUUGACAUUCAAAUAUGAGCUCUUGUUGGACUCAUACAAGAGGUAUACGCAUCUGUGUGGUGUUUUCUGUCAAUUUCUAGAUGGCAUUACUCUGAUGCAUCAAACAUUAUAUGUUCUAGGCUUUAAUUGACUUUCAGAAUCCAGAUAAACCUUUUCCUUUGUCUCCUUCCUUUGGUUUGUCAAGAAUAGAGAGUUCCAUUUGUAGGCUUGAUUACCCUCUUAAUAUGGUAGGAGUUCACACUUUAAAGGUAGUACCGAUCUUAUUAUUAUUCUCUCUUUUCCUUUUUUGUUCUCUUCCAAUUUGGGGUUCGGAAUGGGGAUUGGGCCAACUCCAUUUACUGGAUGGCCUGUGAUGGGAAAGCUUGUCAACAGUUCACUGUCGCAAAUUGGUGCUACUAAAGAUGUGUGGUCAAUGUAAAGGAUUGAAAUUCUGGUAGAACUAUGUUAUGAACUUUUGCAUCAAAAAAGUACCUUAUGGAUACUCUUACAUGGACCAUGUUCAUUCCAAGAUCGUGUUCCAUGGGAUUGACAUCAACAAAGAGGAAGUGAUUCUCGAUGGUAGUGAGGCACCAGUUAGAAUAGAUGCUGAGGCUCUGCUUGUGUUGGAGGAACUUGCUCCUGUUGCCAUCCUCAAUAAGGUAAAGCACAUUAUGCUUAUUCCAGAAUCAUAAGCAAGUGUUUCUGAAUUGAGUUUUCUUUAUCUGCUGUCUAUGCAGAUGAGGGUUCCAUAUCGACCUGUUGAGGCAAAGCUUCGUGCUCUCCUAUCAGCGAGAGACAAACUACCCUCAGGGAAACAGAUAUUGGCUCUGACAUUGACGUGAGUGGAGCUUCAGAAUUUGCUGUCAAGCUUAACUCACUGAACUGUUUUUUUGAGUUGAUCAUCUGAAAUUUCUGAUGCAGGUAUAAAUUCAAAUUAGAAGAUGGAGCAGAACUAAUACCUUAUAUUCCUUUACUCAACAAUCGAAUGUAUGAUACCAAGUUCGAGUCGCAGUUCUAUAUGAUAUGGGAUGUGAACAAGGUACUGUAUCACUUGAUUUUUCCUUCCUUAUAUGGUGUGGUAUCCUUUCAAUGUAAACAAUAUUGAUGGCACUCAACCAUUUCUGAGCCACCAUAAAUAAAUGGGUAUAGAUUUACUAUAUCUCAAAAGCGAAACAAAAUCCACACUUUGCAAUGCUGUAGGGAGCAUUAUAUUGUUCUAGCAUGACUUUGCAACUUCACUAACUUAUAGGUUGGGUUUCACAUUUCGCGUUCAAUCAUUUUGGUGGGGUGAAAAAUUAUAUUUCCAGUUUGUAUCAGGACAUAUGCUGCUCUCAACAUCUUUUUUGUUUCCUUUGUAGCGUGUACAUGCCUUGGGAGAUGUCUACCCAAAAUCUUCAAAGCUGCCCAAGGGUGAAUACACUUUACAGCUGUAUCUAAGGUGCAGUUUAUUUCUUGGGUUGAAACUGCACCAUGCAUCUCCCCCCCUCGACCCCCCCCCCCCCCCCCCCAAAGAAAAAAAAAAAAAAAAAACUUCGCAUUGCAUGCACAGAUGCACACACGCUUUAGAUUAACAUGGUCACACGUUAUGUUGAAUAUAAAGACUUUAUUUGCUACCAAUUUAGAUUCUUUUAUAAUCUUUUGUAUUGCGUGAAAUGAAGCAUCGUGGAAUGGAAAAGAUGCUGCAAAAAUUGUGGAAAGUUAAGUUAUGACCUGUCAUCUACGUCUUGGGACAUAUAGAUUGUUGUGAAAAGAAAUGCUUAGCCUUAAUAAAAAUCAAAUAGUUUCAUGCUAUACCAAAGAUGAUUAGAUAAAUAAUUUCUAUGCUCAUAGUACUUUUAUCUUUCAGGCAUGAUGAUGUGCAAUAUUUGGAAAAAAUGAAGCACUUGGUGCUGUUUAUGGAGAGAAAUCUAGAGGAAAAGGUAUCAUCCUUGUCCAACUAGUGAAUUAGACCUGCUUUUUGUGUGGAAAAGAUUUUAUCAAAAAAAAUUGAGGAUAUAUGAUUGUAAGCGGCCAAAUUUACAUAGAUAUCAUGCGAAUAUGAUUAAAGAAUCACAUGUUUUAGAUGACCUGAGAUCCUUAUAGUAUUUUUAGUAAAAUGAGUUACAUCAGUGAUGUUUGGGUUAACGUAAAUUGAACUUCUACUUUAUUCAUUUAUGAGCAAGAUUAUAUUUCAUAUUAGGGGCGGGCAAUACCGAACUGGCCGGUUUUGGGCGAUUCCCGGGGCCGGUCCCGUCCUCAGUUCCAUAAAAAUAGAGCAGGUGAUUUUCGGUCCAGUUCCCUGUUUUAGGGGUGGAACCACUUGGACCGGACCCAUUUCUUUUCCCCCUUAAAAAUCUUCAAAGAAUAGCAGCCUCUCAUGCUCGCUCUUCCCUCUCGGCUCUCAUGCCUCUUUCCCUCUGUCCAUGGUGGACGACGGCAUCCUCUAGGGUCUGGAGGAGUAGGGCCUUCUCGACGAGCUCGGUGUAGUGGAAGUCGAGUCGAGGAGGGUGAUGAGGAUGGAGUUGGAGCUGAUCUGACCCCUUGUGGAGUUGCAGGGGGCCGGUGGGGCAAUGCGGAGGAGAGAGGAGGGAGGAGACACCACAGACGUGAGGAUCCAUGAGGGCUCGAGAGCGAGCUCGGAGCGAAUUGGAGGUGUCUUUGUUGUCUCUCUAAAAUGGAGUGGAAGGAGGAGGGGAAGGGAGUUUGCGUGUAGAGAGAGAGAGAGAACAAAAGUAAGGGCCUGUUUGGCAAUUUGCCCAACAGUGCCAGAUUCUGAUUUUUUGUUCCCAGAAUCAGUUUGGGACGAGAAUCGCGUUUGGUAAAUUUUUUGUUCUCGGGAACAAAUUUGUUCCCGGGAACAAUUUUGGACAAGAUUUGAGAAUAAAAAAAAAUUUGAUUCUCGUCCGAGAAUCAGAAAAAAGAAUCAAAACGGUAAAACCUUGUUCUUCUCUUUUAUCAUCUCGGUUGCCAUUCGCCAUCGCCCGCCGCCGUCCAUCGCCCGCCUGCCGCCGCCCGCCGCCGCCUGCCGCCGCCCGCCGCCGCCGCCGGUCGCCGGUCCGGCGAGAUCGCCGGAGGCUCGCCAGGCCAGGGCGAGGUCCGGCGAGCUCGCCGGAGCCUCGCCCAGCUGCCAGCGAGGCUCGGCCGACGAAGGCCGACCUCGCCGAGGGCUGGCGGCGCUCCGGUGAGCGUCGCUGGCCCUCGUCUGGCCGGUCGCCGGUCCGGCGACCGGCCAAAUGAAGAAGAAGAAGAAUAGGAAAAAAGGAAAAAAAAAAAGAAAAAAGUAAAAAAGUAAAGAAAUUAUUUAAAAUUUAUUUAAAAAUCAAAAGAAAUUAUUUAAAUUUUAUUUAAAAAUCAAAAGAAAUUAAUUUGGAACAGAAUCAAUUAAUACGGUACCAAACGCAAUUCUAUUACAGAAUAAAAAAUUUUGAACAGUUACCAAACACGUGUUUUUACUCAGAAUCAGUUCCCGGGAACAGAAUAAAAAAGAAUCAGUUUUUAUCAGAAUCAGCUCCCGGGAACAGAAUCGUUACCAAACGCGCCCUAAAUGCCUUUAAUGCGAUAGAGACUUGUUAGCAAGUAAAAUAAAUGUGAUAGAGAGAGAUAUCAGACAGCCUGGAAGUGGGACCAUGCUGCUCUCUCUGUUUUUUUUGGUCAGACACACCCCUCUCUUUAGUCUUUAAAGAUUUGACCGGUUCCAUGGACCGGAACCGGAACCGGAACCAGAAUCAGACCGAGCCAUCAAUCCAGUUCGGUUUCCGGUCCUAAGACCAAUCGGUCCAGUUCCCAAUUCCACCUUGGAACCGGACCAAACCGGAACCGAUCACCCCUAUUUCAGAUUAGGUCGUGAUUGUGUCAUGACAUGUCAGAAAUUAUUGCUCUUAGGACCGAGAACCAAUCACUCCUAUUUUAGAUCAGGUAGUGAUUGUGUCAUGACAUGUCAGAAAUUACUGCCCUAGCACCCUAUAAAAGUUAAAGAUUGGUGCAUAGAUUUAGAUGCUCCUCUUUUUAUAUUCAAAUGAUAAGUCUAAACUCAAAUGAUAGCCAGUAAUUCACUGCCAAUAAUUGUUUGCCAAAGUACAUGCUAGUUGUUUGUUUGGCACCAUUGCCACCAUCCUCUUUAGGUGUUCUCUUUUUAGAAUAAGCAAUCUAACGACCCAAUGAUGUUGAAGAAGCUCUAUGGUUUUUAACCUCAUUAUUUAUGUUUUCAAUUUCCUUGAGUCCAGGAUGUCAUGCGACUGAAUUUUUUCUCUCAACCUGAUGGCCCAGUAAUGGGAAAUGGCUCGUAUAACUCAUCAGUUUUGAUCCCUGGGUAGGUUUAGUUCGUCAUGGAUAUGUAUCGCUGUUCUGUCUCCUCCUACCACAGCCUUUGAUAUGUAUAUUGUUAUGUAGGAAGAAGGAAGCCAUCUAUUUGGGCCCACCGACCAAGGACAAGCUCCCAAAGGUAUUCCAUUCUGGUGCUUCUUCUUCAAUUAAUGUUUCUUAAUACUUUGUCAUCGAACUAUUGCAGAAUUCUCAACCUGGGUCUGUGUUGGUCGGAGCAAUAUCUUACGGAAAGGUAUCGAAUGCUGGUCAAGAUAUUGGAAAGAGUCCAUCAAAGAACCCUGCAUCCUACCAAAUCUCUUACAUAGUGCCACCCAAUAAGGUUGCUCGAGACCAUUCCAACUUUUCUUUCUUUUUCGAUGCUUUUACUGAAGGUUAAUUUUUAAUUUUCUCUGCAUUUGGAAGGUUGAAGAAGAGAAGGGGAAAGUUUCUUCAUCGAGGUGCACUAAAUCUGUCUCCGAACGCCUACAAGAAGAGGUACUUGGUGAUUGUGCUAUUGUGGUUAUUUUUCUUGGAGAGAACUUUCGCUUAUGUAUAAAUUCCAUAGAUACCUUCAGGAAGCACUUGCAGUGUCAUGCCCGGAUAACUUCUUGUGCUUGCAAAACCAGAGACCUGUUCUACAUAUAUGCAUAUUUAAACUGUUACAUAUAUACGAGCAUCUAUCCGGUAUAAUAUUAGAUCUGUGCCUAUAAUUUAGAGCCAAAUGCUGAUUUUUAUGGACAUAUAUCCACCUACACUGGGUUUCAGAGGCAAAAUUGAUGCUGGCAUCUUUUUCUAUCAGCUGUCAACAAAAAAUCUAUGGGAAUUCAUCUGGCCUUAGUAUUAUUUGUAUUUGAUUCAUGUAUUUGACUUUCUUAUGGGCCAUUACCUUUCUUAAUAUCAUGCUAGAAAUAUCAAGGAUUUCCUGCAGCAUAUGCCAUUCAUUUGACAAGAAACGGAAGGGAAUGUAAAAAAAAUUUGAGCAUCAAUAAGGCUUGGUUUGCUGUUGCCAAAAAUACCUACUACAACUGGCAUUUUUUGAGAGAAGGAUAGUUUGGGGUACAUUUCCACAGGAAAGAGACUAUAUCAAGGGUAUAAUGUUAUGGGUUCCAGUAGGAAAGCGAAAGAGCUCUUAUAAUCUCUCACUAAAUUCAAAGUCAUGCUUGUGCCAAUUUAAAUAAUUUCCAGUGGAUUUCACAAACGUCACAGAGUCACAGAAAUAUGACAUGCUGGUGUCAUUUAGCAGAGUUUCUUUUUAAAAUACCAGGCUCUUUUGUUCUAACUAGUAAGAGACCCCAGCAACUCUUUAUUUUUGGGUAAAAACUUCUUCUUUGAAAGUAUUGAAACAUUAAAUUUAUUUUAUCGUGAUACCCAGGUGAUAGAAUCAAUUCAUUGGUUUUGCUUAUUUAUUGUGCAACAUCUUUUUUGUUUUUUGGGGUCAUAAAUGGUGAAAUUGAAAGCCACCAUAUAACUGGACAUGUUCAAUUCUUUAGUUUUCUAAUCAUAUAGAUCUGAUAAUGAAAUGUACACAAACAAUAAAAUGUUCUUUCAUGGAAAAUUUGCCUUAUGAUGUCUCAAUGGGCAUGUGGCUUUUAACAUGACCUAUGAUGUCUUUAUUUUAAGGGAAUAUGCGUUACAUGAAUAAUCAUUAUAUUAGACAAUAGAUUGAUGAAUGAUGGUCAUAUGGGUAAUGAAUAACCAGAAAAUGCAUCCGCUACUCAUAUAUUCUUUAGUUUGUCGUUCUGAUCUAGGACGCAGACUUCAGUUUGAGUAUCUGGUUUUUCAUAGUCUAUUGGAUGCUUCUUCACAAUGUGUUUUGUUAUCAAUCAGGUUCGAGAUACAAAGAUAAAGUUUCUGGGAACUCUGAAACAUGGGAAUGAUGAAGAGAAGUUGGAGUGGAAGAACUUAGUUACUCAACUGAAGGUGAUUUUCUUUACUCAACCAAAGUACAUCUUUUACUGUGGUUGCAUAAUUGCCUCCGAGAUAGCUCUCUUACAACAUGUUGCAGGAUGUAUAUGAUGGCAUCGAUUUGCUCCUCAUUUAUGCAAUGACAUGGACCAGUAUUUUGCAAAAAUUUAAAUUAAGAAUGCUAUCACAUCUGACAAAAAAAAAAAGUGCGCUAACUUUGCAUAAACAAACAAAAAGCCAUGUUUAGUAGUAAUGUGAAGUAAUAACUGGAGCGAAAAGCACAGUCUGAAGUACACUGUUUUCGGUCUUAUCUUUAUGUAAGAUCAUAUAUGGUUCUUUACAUUAAUUUCUUGUGGCAUGUCCUUUGGCAGUCGGAGUACCCAAAACACACACCACUGCUUGCCAGGAUCUUGGAAUAUUUACUCUCUCAGAGUGAUGUGAAGGACAAAAUCCACCACAAUAGGAAGGUAAUUAGCAUUUGAUCUCUAAGUUUGUCUUUAUAAAUAAAUUGGAUGGGGUAAUAUUUGGGUCAGUGUUAUAUAUUGGAUAUCUUGCUGAAAGAUAUUCCUUAUAAAAGCAAUGUUAUAUCCAUAUGCUGCUGUCUCUUGAAAACACAAUAGUAUAUUCUUUCCAAUGACAAGUUUUCUUAGUUAGAGAAUUUGAACAACUGCAACUCCAAGGGAACAAUGUGAUGAUACUUGAGCGUGAAGAUUUCCUAGCCUCAAUAACUACUCUUUGUACUUUUCCAUUUGUCCUUUUCUAGAAAAGUAUUUUACUUAAAUUUAUGUGAACUUAUGCAGGCCCAUAGGAAAUAGCGACUCAACAUCUUUAUGGAUAGAAUAUUUAAUUAUUAAACCAUGCCUUAAUUUAACAGCUUAAGCUUUUAAAACAGUUGAUAAUGGUAAUGGUCCCAUUAAAUCUCACAUGGUAUGAGAGCCCAGGUUGCUGACAAGUCUGGUGCAAUAAUCAGACGAUAGAGUUGCAGGUGAUUGCGCCUCCAACCUAGGCUUGAUGUGUGAAGGGGAGAUUGUUGAGAUUUUUCCUACAUUGUUGUGGAGAGGGCUGAUGAUUGAUUUAUAAGUGUGAGAGAAAGUCUUAUCUUUUGAGCUAGCUUUUGGGGUAAGAGGCUCAAGAUCACCCAACAUUACCGCGCUCUCCCAUUUGAUGGGCCUUUGCUGACCCUAAGCUCAAAUCUUUGGUAUCAAGAUCACCUAACAUUAGUAUCAAAGCAGGAGAUCCUAAGUUCAAAUCUUUCCUAACCCUAUUUGCCUCUCUAAUUAAAUAAUUCCACACUUAGUACUAGGCAAAAAAGACUAGACUAAGCGUGAGGAGAAGUGAUAGAAUUUUUAAAUAUUAACCAUGCUUUCAUCUAACAUUUUAAGCUUUUAGAACAGUUGAUAAUGGUCCCACCAAUUCUCACAGUUAUCACCAUCCAUUUAGGAAUUUUAAGCCCUUGACCUAUCAUAAAUGGCUCGUUUUCUACUCAAGAAUACAAAAGCAGAUAUCUACAUAGUUACCGCUGUCCAUGAAUUUACCUAUUAUUGUGUCGCUUUAUGUUAUACUUAAAUUAUGCGAACUUAUGCAGGCCCAUAGGAAAUAGCCCCUCAACAUCUUUAUCACCGUCCAUUUAGGGAUUUUAAGACAUUGACCUAUCAUAAAUGGCUCAUUUUCUACUCAAGAAUACAAAAGCAGACCUCUACAUACUUACCACUGUCCAUGAAUCUAACUAUUAUUGUGUCACUUUAUGUUAUACUUCAAUUAUGUGAACUUAUGCAGGCCCACAGUAAACAGCUACUCAACAUCUUUAUCACCAUCCAUUUAGGGAUUUUAAGCCCUUGACCAUCAUAAAUGGUUCAUUUUCUACUCAAGAAUACAAAAGCAGACAUCUACAUAGUUACCGCUGUCCAUGAGCUUAACCAUGAUUGUGUCACUUUAUGUUAUUGUGACUGAGCCUGCAGAACAUAGAAUGUGAAAGAUACUGGGUGUGGCUUUUAGUCUUUUCUCAUUUUUUAUUUUUUAUUUUUUGUGGUUUUUGGCCAUGGGUUGCUUUUAGUUCUCUUUUGGUCACUCAAGUCCUGUUAGAAAUCUUACCAUCUUGCAGGAUUAGGGUGAGCGAGUGGGCUUUCCAUUCCCUUUCCUUUCUACUUGAUUUUCUAGAAGAAUUUGAGGACUUUGGACAGCUUAUAUUUUUUCUCAAAAGGAUUGGGCCAUACCUUGAGAUGCAUCAUUCCAAAGCCUUUCUUGAAGAGUUCUGAUAUUUUCUGUCAAAAUUUCUUCGUAAAAGGCUAAUUGAUAACUGAGCAAGCAUUAAUACAUUCCUGGACAAGAUAAAGGCAGUUUCUACUUGUCAAAAAAACUAAGCCAGUUUCAGACGGGCAAACUGGAAACUGAAGGACUUAUUCAAAACUUUCUAACCAAGGGGCCAACACCUUCCCAAAACUAAUUGGUGCCUCAUUUCCGCACAUCAAACUCUGAUGGGAAAUCCCCAUAUAAACUGGGUAAAUCUGGAAGUCCAGUCAGUAGGAUUUCUUCGAGCACCAUUUUGUGCUUUAUGUCCGGUUUUCCUUAACUGACCAUGCUGUAAGUUAUAUUUUUGUUUUUAAAAGAAUACAAAGAGAGGAGUGAGUUUACUUACUGUAUAUUUGUUUUAUGGUGAUUUGCAGAUCAUUGAUGGAGCCGACGAAGUUAUCAAUAGCAUUGACAGAGAUGAGUUAGCAAAAUAUUUUGCAUUCAAAAGUGAUCCAGAGGAUGAGGAUGCAGAGGUUUGUGUCUAUCGUACCAUGCAGCCACUUCCACUAAUAACUGCUUGGAAGAAGCAUCAAGCACACCCUGAUAAGCUCUUCAUGGUUUAUUAAUUUUUUCUUGGUACACUAACAAAUUAUGAUGCUCCAAAUUCUUGUACUCAAUAUGUCAUGAAUUUCUAAUUCUGAAGCAUGUGAUAUUUCCAUCUACUUGUUUGUUUUUGCAUAGAAUAUUAAGAAGAAGAUGGAGACUACACGUGAUCAAUUAGCAGAAGCUCUUUACCAGAAGGGGUUAGCGGUAGCAGAAAUUGAGUUCGUCAGUGUAAGGAUGACUGAAACCUGUUCCUGGACAUUAGUAGCAUGACAUACUUUUACGGCUUUAAGCUUUAGGUGGUAAUGCAGCCCUGCAGAUUAUUAAUGUGCAGUCCUAAUAUCAAAUUCUGGUUAUAUCAACAAUUUCUUAGAUAUCUGUCUCCCUAUGACCUAUGAAUUCCUAGCCUAUAUCCUUCGAUAAUGAUUCAAUAUGUGAAUUGAGAUGUAGCUGCAAAUGUGUGCUUCUUUACUUAUAAAUUUUUUGCACAAAGUGUCCAUCCCAGUCAAAAUGUGAUGCUAUUUGUGCACAGUUAACAGCUGUCAGCACUAGGGUCCCCAAUGCUGGCAUGCUGUCAAAGGUGUCACCUUUCCCCCAACGUGAAGUUACUUAUCUUCAGAAUCUAUUGAAUCCAUUAUGGUGAUUAACCAAUUAAUUCAAAAAUUAUGUAUCACUUUCUCACACGCCUUAAUUUUUGCAGCAAGAGAGGGCUUCAGCAAAAGCUACAACUGAGGGCUCUGAAGAUGUGGCUGCGAGUGGUGACGUACCUGUUCAGACGCCUCGUAUCCCACCCAAUCUCUUUGAAGAGAAUUUUGCGGAAUUGAAGAAAUGGGUUGAUGUGAAGUCCUCUAAGUACGGU